RNAcentral lists this long non-coding RNA (46374 nucleotides) under Musa acuminata (dwarf banana). RNAcentral's name for it is "long non-coding RNA (MACU_LNC003855)". The record is from RNAcentral. Lineage: Eukaryota; Viridiplantae; Streptophyta; Magnoliopsida; Zingiberales; Musaceae.
UCUCUCUCUCUCUCUCUCUCUCUCUCUCUCUCUCUCUCUCUCUAAAUGUUGCAUGCUUGUGUUUUAGGGUAGCUAUAGAAUGACAAACUUGAAAGUUAACAGGACCCGAAGGCUUUCAUGGACAAUGACAAGUAAAUGAAGGUACAUUGGAAUUAAGAACUAGAGAGAGAGGACGGAAAAGGAAGGAAGAAGAGAAGCCAUUGUUAUUGUAUGAUAAGGAACAGGAUUCCUUCAUAUGCGGUGAGGAGUAAGCGCUCAAGUACACGCCCUGAGCUCACUCUGGGAAUCUGGAACUGUGUCCUUCUCGUCAAGCUUCAGUGGCAGCAGUUCUGGUCCGGCGACAAUCACCUAUACCUCCCUCCUCUCACUCUCACUCUUAUCAAUCCUUAACGGCGAUCCAAACAUGUGUUUUCAGCGUGUAACUGAGCCACCUUUCCCUCAGCAUGCAAGAUGAGUUGACUGACACCCCAAAAAUGGUCAAGAUAUCACUGAAGAGAGAGCACUAGUAAUUUGAUUCUAUCAAAAACAACAUUUUGAUCCAGACUGGUAUUUCAGAAAUGCAAAAAACUUCUUACGUACAUUACAGAGCGUGCAAACAAAUGCAAAUAUCUUGAUGUUAUUAAAAGUCCAUAGUAAUAAUUUAGCACCAGGAGCUAAGAGUAUAUGCCAUGGAUAUCCCACACUAAUGGGGGUAGCUGCACUGACAUUUCUUGGGGGUGCCAUGAUAGGGUGAUUGACUUCUCCUUUCCCACCAUCCUCUCCUUUCCCUCGGAGCCUGAGAUGUCAACUCUGAAUGAAGCUUCAGAGAUACAAGAACAAGAUGUUUCACUGGCCAUUCUACUUCUGAGCUUUAGAACCUGACAGUGCCAACUCUUCCACUUUGAUAUUUCCAAUGAGUGGCUAAAGCACCAGGGGGGAAGUGCUUCUCUUACUCUGUGCCAUGUUUAAACUCCAAAGGCUACUCAUGAACCAAUUCCUGAAUCCAACAGGAAUACUAUCAUCUUUCAAAGACCCAUAUUUGUUGAAACAUCAAGUGAGAAUGAUGCAUCUCAAGUGGAGAUCUACAUGUGGCUGUUAAUUUUUGUAAGCUCUUUUUUCUUUCUUCUUGUUCACAUUGCUUUAAAGAGGAUACUUUGGUGCUGCAUGAAGAGUGAGGAGGGGGAAGAAGAAGUGGGAAGGAGUGCUCAGACCAAUGACUAAUUGCUGAAUGCUGCAGCAUAUCUUGUGAUCACUCUCACAAAUUAUUCCUCCACUGGCAGAGUUUCCUGGUCCUCAGAAUGAUACACUUGUCACUUCGCUCCUUCUCCACCAGAAAUGGCUAUGGUGGUGGCUAAUAUUUGCACCAACCAUAGCUCACAGACUCCCUGCUAAUGCAGAGAAAUCACUGGAGAACUUUGGAAGCCUGACAGUCAAGAUAUGGUUCUAAGAACUUGAUACUGAAGCAGAAGAUGACACCACAUAACUUUGAUUCGAUGGCACAUUUCUUGACACUGUCUUGUUGUUCUUGGAUACGUAUGAUGAGUUCCUUUGUAUUCAGAUAAAACAUGACCAAGCUUUUGGCUGGUGUUUGCAAGAAAGUUUUUUGAAAGAAACAAGCUUUCAGAAGGUUAGUCUUUGAGCAGGUGAAGGACAAGUAGGCAUCAAGCACGCAAUUGCUGAAUGCAAUAGACUAGUACAGUUCCUGCUGUGCCUUAUGCACCUAUGAUGGAGGAGAAGAAGAGAACGAGGAAAUGGCAAACCUAGCUAUAGUAUCUUAGACAAGUAGGACACUGCUCUCAAGCAUCAUGUAAGGAUCCAGUGUCAUGACACUGCUGCUGCUACAAUGCACUUGCUUUUGCAGGUAGUAGCAGACACAUCUGCAGCUGCCAUGUCAAGGAGAGAUUUGGCUGCCGGUGAGACUGGAAAAUGAGGAGCAGCAGCAAUCCUGAGGUUGCGAUUAGUGAUGCACAUCUUUCAACCUGUUGAAGGGAUAUGAGUUGGACAGCAAAUGCAGUGGUAGAGCUUUGGCUUACUGAGAUCCCUCCUUCCACAAGAAUAGCCACAUGGAAACACAAGGGUGUGAGAUUAAUGAAUGAUUGCAGUGCUCAAUAGGGGACAUUAAAAGAAGAGAAAAAUAAGGACCAAUAAUGCCACUACCUAUUUAUAUGACUCUUCAGCUCUGAAAAAUCUUUGUGACUUCUGAUCUUGAGUAAAUAAAUCACAUAUUUUCAUUAUUUAUUAGCUAUGAUUAUGUUAAUCAACUCAAAGGGGGACAAAGAAUUAUCAGUUGUAACAUUAAAAUGUGAUGAUUAUUAAAAGAAAAACUUUAUAUGAGCUCACGAUUAGGUCACAAAGCCUAAAUGAAAGUUAUUCUAAGCCACAAUUUGGAUAGAAAUCCACCAAGGAGUAACAUAGUUUGGAAGCAUUUGUACCACCCUAUUUUAUAUGACUAGUAGUAAAUUAGAUGACCAUUGUAAUAAGUGUAUUAACAUAGAGGAAGCAUUUCUACCACCCUUGUUUACAAGUUUAUAUGCAUAUAUAUUGGAAUUCGUUAAGUAAGAUCUAUACUAACGUCUUAUACUAAGAUCGUGUGUUAAUCAUAAUUUCAAAACUCAUUAUUAGGAAGGUAAAUUUAUUUUUUACUUCAUGAGGUUCUCUAAAUAAUGCUAUGUUACACUCAGUAGAUGAAAUUGUGUCUAUCACUCACUAAAAUAAAAAUAUUUGUUUUUUAAUAGUGGAUAAAGAAAUCAAUUAGUCAUUAUAUUUACGAAUUGUUUAUCCUCGAAGAGAAUUAUCUAAUCCAUAUAGCCUUAACAAUGGCACAAAAAUCAUAUUGUUCAUUUUCAUUUAUUUAUGUAUGUAUUUUAAGAGACAAUACGAUACAAAUAUCAUGAUAGACUAGGCUUAAUAUAUGAUAGAUAGACAUGUAACUGUUUUUUAAAGGCGAUACUAUCAUGAAAUUUAAUCUUAAAAUUAAAAUUUAUUAAUCAUUUAAAAAAAAAUAUAAUAUAACUUUAAAAUAUUUUUAAAUUGAUCAAAUCAUAAAAUCAUUAGGUGUCAAUCCUUUUGUAACACCUUAUCCUUAAUUGAAAUGAUCAAAUUAACUUGAAGCAAAUAGGUGUUCGACUAGAAUCUAAUUAAAUUGACAUUAAAUUUACAUAAAUAUGAUCUAAAAUCACCAUAAACAGAUGUAAUUGGAUAUGGAUUUGUUCUAUUUGGGUCGUACGAGUUUGAAUCGAAAAGAAUUAAUUCGAAAUUAUCCUGAAAUUCGAUCUAAUUAGGGGUAAUUGACUGGGUCACAAGGGAUCGCAUGAGACUUGACCUAUCAAAUUAGGCAACUAAUAAGAAGAAUUCCUUUAUUUGAAUUUUCAUCAAUUUCAUACCAAUAAAAUAAAAGAAAAAUUAUUAAUCAAAGCUGGAUUUCCUCCAUUUUCUGAAUUUUCUUUUGAGAGACAAGAGUUUGAUUUUGUCCCAUUAUUAUUUUUAUUUUUCAUAUAUUUAUUUCGACCAACCAAGGAAGAUGGCCGACCUGAGAAGGCACAGUAAGAGACCGCGGCCGUUGGCCACGGUGGAUCAAGGGCAAUCUCGUAAUUCUCGGCUUCUCUUCCUUCUUCUCACCCUCUCAUUAACGUUGACGGUGAUUCUUCCGACCUGUUAAGCCGAAACCUCUCUCUCUCUCUCUUCGUUCCCCUUCUCUCCGCAUUCGCCUCUAUUCCUUGACUCGGAAGCUUAACCGGAUCGCAGCUCUUCUUCGCCUCCUUCCGCCCCGAUCUCGGCCCUCCCAAGCCCUAGAUUUCUGGGGUUUCGGCUCAUCAACCCGCGGAUCUCUCCGCCCCUACUCCGCCUCCGCUCCGUCUCCCGUCUCAUCCGAAAAGAUGGUACGUUCGAUCUUUGCUCGUGCCCUUAAUCGCCUUCUUUGCUUAAGUGAUGUUAUAUCUUGAUGGUUGUUCGUUUCUUGGGUUUCGCGUGCCUCAUCAUUAAGAGGCUGAACUAUCUAUAGAACUUGUUUUGUAUUGGUGUCUGAUGGUCGUUCGUUUCUUUUUCUGUGUUGAUUUGGUACCCGUGGCAACUGCUGCAGCCUCUCAGACUAGAAAUCAAGGUAUGUGAUCCUAACCCUUGUGUAGAUUUUGGUAUAUUUUAGUUGGAUCUUAUGUCUGGGUUGAACUCUAUUGUCAAAUACAUGUUACAUUUGAAUGGUAUUUGUCUCGAAUUGUGCUUACAGUUUAUAUGUGUGUCAGAGGAAACUUGCCCAAAGGUCGGAAAGGGUGAAAUCGGUAGAUCUACAUCCAUCGGAGCCAUGGUAAGGAUGAAUGCCUUUUUCUACACUCCCAUUCUGAUAAUUAUGGAAAGGGUGAUGCAGGUUUUCAAUACUAUAUGAUAUGCCACCCUACAUUAAUCUUUUUAUUGCAGGAUUCUUGCAAGUCUUUAUUCUGGAAGUGUUUGUAUCUGGAACUAUCAAUCACAGGCAAGUCACCUGUUUUUAAUAUGUUGUAUUUGUACCUUGGCUGAAUAAACUUUUAGAAUCAUUCUUGACCACUCGUUAAUGAGAUUGAGCAGCCACAUUAUGUGGUCAAUGUGUGUAUAUACCAACAUGCUUUUGGAACUGAUACACCUUCAUAUUUGAGAUGGUACUUAUUGCAUCUUUCAAUAUGAAUUAUUCUUUAUCUGGUUCUGAAAUAGUUAGGGACUAGCCAAGUCUGAAGAACUUGAUUGAUCAUGUAAUGAGAACAGAGUUGUGAAAUUAUUUGAGACUAAGGCCAUACCCUACAUCACACUCAAUAGGAUACUUGCACUUUGGUAGAGCUUAGGAAUGGUCUUGUUUUUAUCCAUUCUGAUGAUUGACAAUGAGAGACUUUUUUUGCAUCAUAAAGAAUUUGGUGUUUAUCUUGAUAUAUUUUGAUCACGAAUUCGAUUGAUUGCAGACUAUGGUAAAAUCUUUUGAGGUCACUGAAUUACCAGGUACACUACACUGUAUCCUAGCCUUUUCUGAUGUUACUAGAGUUUGUUAUAUAUUCUGAACAUUUAUUUAUUGGGAUUUCAGUCCGGUCAGCAAAGUUUAUAGCACGCAAGCAGUGGGUUGUGGCUGGUGCAGAUGAUAUGUUUAUUCGUGUCUACAAUUACAAUACUAUGGACAAAGUUAAAGUGUUUGAAGCACACACAGACUACAUAAGGUGUGUGGCUGUACAUCCAACACUUCCAUAUGUGUUGUCAUCAUCAGACGACAUGCUGAUUAAACUUUGGGACUGGGAGAAGGGUUGGAUUUGUACCCAAAUCUUUGAAGGACACUCUCACUAUGUGAUGCAAGUAACCUUUAAUCCAAAGGACACAAAUACUUUUGCAAGUGCCUCCCUGGACCGCACAGUGAAGGUGUUGCUGCAAUAUCUUUGAUGCGUUACAUGGAUUUUACCAUGUUUUUUCGGGUACUGAACCGUUUAAUUUAAUUUUUUUGCAGAUCUGGAAUCUUGCUUCUCCAGAUCCAAAUUUUACACUAGAUGCACAUUCUAAAGGAGUAAAUUGUGUUGAUUAUUUUACUGGUGGUGAUAGGCCAUAUUUGAUUACUGGUUCUGAUGAUCAGACUGCAAAGGUGUGCCUCAUGCUUUGUUAAGCUCAUAGCUCACAGUCUACUCUAAAGUUUUUCUAUUAAUAAGUUUCAUUAAAUCAGGUCUGGGACUAUCAAACCAAGAGCUGCAUUCAAACACUCGAAGGCCAUACACAUAAUGUUUCAGCUGUCUGUUUCCAUCCUGAGCUUCCGAUAAUAAUAACAGGUUCAGAGGAUGGAACUGUUAGAAUUUGGCAUGCAACUACAUAUAGGUAACUGUGUUCUGGAAAUAGAUCUAAUUCUACAUACACCUUUCUGUGUUAAUCUUCUUUGUACUUAUCCAUUUGCACUAUGAAAUUCUUUUAGUAAAAAAAAAUUGUUGGUUUUAUUUCAAGUUGUUGGUUCUUAAACUAGUAAUUUCUGUAGAUGAUUUAUGGCAUGGUGCUCACUUUGCAUCAUAUAAAUUUUCAUAACUUUUUUAGUUCUUUUAGUGUCCUUGACAGAAAUAUAGGGAGGCUUUUUACAGAAAAGGAAAUUAGCUAUUUUAUAGGUAAAGCACAUUCAUAAUAGAAUGUGUUUUCUGUCUUCUUUUAUAGUUUGCUUGCCUAUUUUAAACUUACACAGAUUGUAUGUAUCCAAUAGGUAUACUUUUAGUUUUAGGUUUUUGGGGGGGAUGUUCAGGGACUGUUUUCAUUUAGGCCUGUGGCAUUCAUCAACACUGUUCGUAAUUGGCUGUUUAGAAAGAAAAAGGAAAUUGCAAUGAUGGCAUAUGUGAGGCUGCUCAGGCUUGGAAACUUGAACCAAGGGUUUAAUUGUAGUGGCAGGAGGAGGUAUUAUAAAGAUGCUUGGAAGAAAAAGAUGAUGACUAAAUAGUGUCGGAUGGAGAAGUUAAUGGUGAUAUUUCCUCUGGACUUUUCAUCCCUACUUUUUGAGAUGUGAAGAAACUAAUGUAAUUGAAUUGGUAGCACAUUGCAUGAGUUUCCUACCAUGGGGAGUUGGUCUAGGAUUCGUGAGGCUGUUUGCAUGAUUCAAACAUGUCUCUUGUUGUCAUUAGUCAAUAGGCUACUUUAGAAGAGCAGAUUUUGAUGGCUUAGCCAGAAAAAUGCUCUUUUCUCCCUCAAGAUUUAUUGAGAUAAAAAACUGAUUUUUGGGUUUGCUUUGAUACUUUUUGCUAGAUAUUUAAAGAUGGUUAAACCUCAUUUAUUUGAAAAAAGAUCUUAUUGGAAAUGUGUAACGUGUACACAUUUUAUGCAGGUCUAGCGGUUAAACAUCAUAAAAACUUAUAUCACACGAUUGUGCUACAGAAUUGCUUUGUAGUAUAGGUAGUAACUCCUAGGAAUUUAAGUGGAUUGGCAAACAGUUUUUAGUUAGUGGAUCGACAAAGACAAACAGUUUUUAGUUGCUCAGGUUGGUUAAGUGUUGAUUAUGCUUUAUGUUUCUUUCAAUGAAAAUUUUUACUUGGUGGUGUAGAUCUCAAGUCCUGGAAUGAAGCAUUUUAUUCCAAACUGUAUUUUAGUAUUAACAUAUUGUGCGGUAAUUUUGAAUUGUGUUCUUUUAUUUAUUCAAAAUAUUUAUUCCUAUGCUUUUACAGGCUUGAAAAUGCACUAAACUAUGGUCUGGAAAGAGUUUGGGCAGUAGGAUACAUGAAACGGUCAAGGAGGUAUGGACAACCCGUAUCUGUCUCUUGUAUCUUUCCUAUGGUAACACUAUCUAUUUUCUUUUACCAAAGCUAUUGAAUCAUUGUCAACUUUUAAAAAACCAUAGGUGGUUUAUUAUAAUCUCCUAAAUUUGCUUUAGGAAAUGUUGUGAAAGCUUUUGAUGAGUAUUUUUUCUUUUCCAUUAAAUUGGUGAAUAGGUUUAUGUUUCAGGGUUGUAAUAGGAUAUGAUGAGGGAACCAUCAUGAUUAAGAUUGGCCGUGAAGUACCAGUCGCCAGUAUGGACAACAGUGGAAAAAUCUUAUGGGCAAUACACAACGAGAUUCAAACUGUUAAUAUCAAGACAAUUGGAGCAGAUUUUGAGGUAGGUACUUCUACUCUGCUCUUAAGAACGUAUGUUGCACACUUGCAUGUAAUGAAGGUUGUGGAAUUUGCUCCAUCUGCAGGUUACGGAUGGUGAAAGAUUACCUUUAGCUGUGAAGGAGUUAGGAAGCUGCGAUCUCUAUCCACAAGUAAGUGUUGCUGAAAUCAAUUAUGCUACAAACGUCAUUCUUUUUCACUUUACCGUUUAGUGGAUUAGUAGCACGAGUGGUUGAGGAAGUGCAUAGGAGAACUUAAAUUCUAAAUAAUGAAAAAAAAAGAGAUUUUCCGGAUUUUAAGUUGACUAGUGAUAUUGCUUUCUGUAGAUAUUAAUCUUGAGAGAAGAUACAUGUGUCAAUUUGAAAUAGUUAUUUUCUUACAGUUUGGUGUUGUCUGGAUUACAAAUUUAUCCGUAUAUAUUAGUUUUUCAGUUAUAGCACUGGUUCAUAUAGAUUGACUGCUUUAAAGUAGGCUGAACUGGUAUAUGCAUUUGUUUCAUUCAUAGUCAUCGUGCUACUAUCCAAAUAUUUAAUGAUUAUAAGUAUUCAUAUUAAUGAGUUGACAUCCCAAGUAGUUAAUUUGGAUUAUCAAAACCAUACAAAAUCAUAGCUAGAAUUGUAUGCUGCAUUUUCCAUUGUUUGAUGGUGACCUCAUGUACUCCCAUGUCGAGUAUAGGCUAUAAUUUGAGGUGAUAUAUGGGAUGGUUUAACGUCAUUUUCUUUUGUCAUCAUGCAUCCAUCAGGCUUCUACGUAUCAGUAUAUUUGCUUACUGGGAUGCAUUUGGCUAGGUUGUAAAACUCAUGCGCCUGCCAUUUUAGCUGAGGCAUGAUAUGCAUCAAAGUGUGUACUGGCACCAAAUUCCUUCUUUCAAAUUCAUCUGUUGCUUCUACAUAUACUCUCCAUUAACUUACAUGGGAAAUAUAAAAGUUCUGAUUUGCAACAAGUUCCCUGUGAAUUUGACCAGUAAAAUUAUGUAGUUGACCAAGCUGACUUGAUUAUCUUAGAAGUGCAAUUUCUGCCAAAUUAACAGUGAUACUGUGGUGAGGCAAGUUAAUAAUUAUUUCUAAACAAAUAUUUCUUUUUGGUAAAUUGAUAAUUUCUACUAAAAAAAUCUCCUUGUGAAAUUGCUUAAUUAAGUAGAUGUGGUAAUCUUUGAGUAACAUGCUUAUCAUAGGUAGUUAUUAGUACUGAACUUGCUGCUUUCCAUUAAUAUUCAUUAUACAUAGUUCUUAGUCUUUGUUUUGUUCAGAGUGUAAAGCACAAUCCAAAUGGGAGAUUUGUUGUUGUUUGUGGAGAUGGAGAGUACAUUAUCUAUACCGCAUUAGCAUGGAGGAAUAGAUCAUUCGGAUCUGCUCUGGAGUUUGUCUGGUCAUCUGAUGGAGAAUAUGCAAUCAGGGAAAGCACAUCAAAAAUUAAGAUCUUUAGUAAAACCUUCCAGGUUUGUCCUUUGUUUUUAUAAAUCUAUUUGUGUUUUACAAGUCUAAGCCCUAUGAACAUAUUUAUUUGCAUAAAAUUAUCUCAGUAAAAGAAAAGAAUAUAGUCACUGAGACAUUAUAUGAUUGUGUGAGAUGCACCAGGAAGCCUCAUUCAUUCAGUCAAAUAAAUUAGUGUGAAUUUAAACAAGUUAUAUGCAACCUCUUGUCGUAAUCGAUCUGAAAGGAUGCACUAUAGAACUUUUUAUAAUUUCUGAUUCUUAAAAUUCUGACUUAGGUGAAAUAUCAUCUUGUUAUUGGUGUUGCUUCAUGGUAUCCCAUCAAAAUGGAUUUGCAUGCAUCAAGCAUGCUAUGAUUUAAUGAUGAAGUAUGCUUUAUGACUUACAACAUUGCUUGAAUUUUUAAAUGAAUGGCAUCUUUCAGGAGAGAAAAAGUAUUCGGCCAACCUUUUCUGCAGAGCAUAUUUAUGGUGGAACACUAUUAGCAAUGUGCUCCAAUGACUUCAUUUGUUUUUACGAUUGGGCUGAAUGCAGAUUAAUACGUCGGAUUGAUGUCAAUGUCAAAGUAAGUUUGCAGCUGGGUACAUAAUAUGUUAUCAGUCUAUGGAAAGGUUCCUGUAAUAUAUUUUCUCAUGAGUAUUGCAGAAUCUUUAUUGGGCUGAUAGUGGUGACCUGCUGGUCAUAGCUAGUGAUACAUCCUUCUAUAUUCUGAAGUAUAAGGUAAGUUAAUCUACAUAAUGUUUAUCCUGCAAAUAUUUUUAUACUUGUUUAAGGAACAUUGUUAUAGUAGAUAUGCUUUUUGCAUCUUCCUAGGAACAAGCUCACAAGAUUUGUUAUUUGAAUGUUCAUUAAUGUUGCUUUUCCUGCAGAGACAUGUUGUUUUCUCUUACCUAGAAAGUGGAAAGCCAGUAGAUGACCAAGGUGUGGAAGAUGCAUUUGAGCUUCUUCAUGAAGUAAAUGAGCGGGUUCGAACUGGGAUUUGGGUCGGUGACUGCUUCAUUUAUAAUAAUUCUUCUUGGCGACUAAAUUACUGUGUUGGUGGAGAGGUAAGCUUAUUCUGAUUUUCUCAUCUUCAUUUUAGUUGCCUGUUAUAAUUUGUUUGCAUGAUGGUAUAUGGUUAUUGUUUUUGUUAAAUUUAGGUCACAACCAUGUUCCAUUUGGACCGGCCUAUGUACUUGCUUGGAUAUCUUGCUAGCCAAAGUCGGGUAUAUCUUAUCGACAAGGAGUUCAAGUGAGUUUGCAUAAGAGUUGCUAUGGAAUCUUCUUUCAUUUUGAUUGAUGAAUUUUCUUUUGUUUAAUAAUUUCUUUCCUUUUCAGUGUUAUGGGUUACACCUUACUUCUCAGUUUGAUCGAGUAUAAGACACUUGUUAUGCGUGGGGAUUUGGAACGUGCAAAUGAAGUUUUGCCAGCAAUUCCGCAGGAUCAUCAUAAUAGGUACAAGUUUUUCUUCAAAAAUGGAGAGUGAAAGUUGUUGCUAGACCGAAUAUUCCGACAAGAAGCCUGAUUUUGUUAAGUACAAUUGUUGGUUAACUCAAUCCAAGUAUACUUGUCUUACCUGAUAAAUACCAUACUUCAACCUUGUGAGUCUCGAUGUGUAGGAUUUGGUGCUUUGUGAUACCUUCUUCCCAUAUUAUGAAAAUAGAUGUUAGUCUCUGAAAAUAUCAACUUAGAAUAUUUUUCUCGAUUUACAUAUUGGGGUCAACUUAUUGUUUUUAGUUAUUGUCUGUUAACUGUGAAAUCAAUUUGCUAGUGUGGCUCAUUUCCUGGAAUCUCGGGGCAUGCUAGAGGAUGCUCUUGAAGUAGCAACAGAUCCUAACUACAGAUUUGACCUAGCUGUUCAGCUUGGUAGGUUGGAAAUUGCAAAGGUACUACAUACACUUCAUGAUCAUGUGUAACUGAAAGGAUGCUUAUAACAUGCUUAUUCUUGAAUGAUUAUGUUCUUUUAGUUAUUUUCCCUUUCCCAACUGAAUAAAAUUCCCUGCAGGCAAUUGCCAUGGAAGUACAAAGUGAAUCAAAGUGGAAGCAGUUGGGAGAGCUGGCUAUGUCUACUGGGAAAGUAAAUUUGAAACCUGUAGUAUAUUUGGUUUUUUUUUUCUAGUAUUUGUAAUUGGUGUUUGCAUAUGUGUUGAUCUCAUCAUGUGGUUAUUAUCAUGCUCUUGCAAGUGCUCAUGUUUUUGUAAACUUAUUAGACACCAUCAUAAUGAUAUAUUGGAGUCAUUAGCAAAUACUAAUGUCUAAGCUGACAGGAUUAAUGUCAACUCUCCGUGAAUGUGAAAAAAUGGAAUUGAUAAUUUAGAGAAGACUGUAGGGAAUAGAAAAAUGAUUUUAAAAGACCAAAAUAAGAGGCUAACAAUGGAUCAAAGUGCCACUAGCGCCAUCAGUUUCCGCCAGUCCUUGGCAUGGUAUAUUGUCAGCAUAGCACACAUUCUGAUGGUGACAUGGGGGUCCUAGCAGCUACAUAAAAGGAAAAUUGAUCAAUAAAAGUACUGGGAUGGAUAUAGAAAUCUGUUAGUCAUUCUCAUCUUCUCAUAAAUUGAUUAGACACAUCUUUUAGAUUGGAGCAUAUACACCCUAUUUGUCUAAUUUCAUUCUGCUGACCUUUUACUGCUUCCAGCAUAUGACAAUGUGACAGUUCUCCUGGUACUAGAUUUGCUUGUUUGAGUCUUCACAUUCUGAUGCAUAUAUGUUAAGUUUACAUAAGUGUCAACCUUGGAAAUUAGCUUGUUGACUCGAAUGAUUUAGUGCACUAAUUCAGUCAUUUCAUUUAUUGUUUCACAGUUAGAGAUGGCUGAGGAGUGCCUGUCACAAGCUGUGGAUUUGAGCGGCUUAUUGCUUCUUUACUCAGCUCUCGGUGAUGCUGAAGGGAUAAAAAAACUUGCAUCUCUUGCCAAAGAGCAAGGAAAGAAUAAUGUUGCCUUUCUUUGUCUUUUCAUGCUUGGUAAAUUGGAGGAUUGCCUUGAAUUAUUGGUGGAGAGGUAAUUUUUUAUAUGCUUUCUAUAUUUAAUAUAUUUUAUUUGUUCUUGGGAUUAUGCCAUGCAUCAUUUUUGUAUGUCAUCUUAUUCACUUUUUCAUUAGUAAUUUAUUGUAUUUUGCAGUAACCGGAUUCCAGAGGCUGCGCUCAUGGCAAGGUCUUAUCUUCCAAGCAAAGUUUCAGAGAUUGUAUCAAUUUGGAAAAAGGACCUCAAUAAGGCAUGUUUCUUUUUUUCUUCACUAACUUUUUGGGUGGUUAGAAUAUUAUAUUAAGAAAAUUUGGAGAUACAAGUUCUGAGCUUUCUCAGUUUCCCUGAAAUGUCCUUGACAGAUUCUCUUGACUGUUAGUCUCAUUUUUUGUAAAGGUUAAUCCAAAAGCCUCAGAGUCUUUGGCUGAUCCUGAAGAGUACCCAAACUUAUUUGAGGACUGGCAGGUUGCUCUGGCUGUUGAAUCAAAUCUUGCCCAUGACAGGUUCUUAUCAUGUCAUUUCUUGUGAACAUCAUGCAAGGCACUGUUUUGCAUACCAAAUUUUACUUGUUAUUAACUAAUUUGCUAUCACCAAUGACCAAAAUUUGUUGUAUACUUGAAAUCUAGAUUUGGAAUGAUGCCAAUAUAGAAUUUUUUACAUGCAUCUAAGAUGCAUGUUUAACUUCCAAAUGGUUUUACCUUUUGGAAAAUAUUUAACAUUUUCUUUCUCAGGAUAUGCACAACUGACUUUAUGUGGCGUUCAUAUCUGUUAUUGUUUCAUUUUAAAGGAUUUUGCUUGUUUUUAUCUUGUGCACUGAAAAAUCUUUUUUACUAAAAUAUACUGAACUGUACAAUCAUGUAAGAGUGUCCAUUUUUCAUUGUGCUUAUUGUAGCUUGCUUGGAACUGCAUUUAAUUGGACCAUAAUUAUUAGAUAAGUUGGUUCAAGCUUCACAGUUGUGUAGGUUUAUUAUAUUAUAGUAAUUCGUCAUGUAGAAGCAAACAAUUAUGCACAUGUUUUUAUUUCUGAUGAUGGUUGUUAAUUCUUAACUGUUGCAUGAACGAGGAAGAACGAUAUUUUACCUUAGAAUUCUUUGUUCACACAAGAUGAUUUUGUGGGCUUCAUACCAUUCUUUGCCAAAAAUGCAGUUUUGAAAAGGAAAAGGGAUUACAUCUAAAAAUGCCUAGAAAAAAGCUUUUACUUUAAGGUUCUGGGGGUCCUGAUGAUCGUGAACAUAUUAGUAACUUUUAUUUGGAGGCUUAGACAUUUAUUACUUACUAUAUGGAUUAGAUAUCUGUUCUUUGGCAUGUGCUCCAAAUCAAAUUAGUUUGGUCAAUGCGUCUGUUUUUUAUGAUCUAAAAGUAGCAUAAAAGUUAGUGUGUGAACAAGAGGUGACAUCAUUAUUAUUAUUAUUAUUUUCAUUCCAUCUGCAUGGUUACAUCAGUAUAAGAUAGAAUGUCAGCUUUGAAAAGUCUCUGUGGGUACUUAGAUCUUAGGUGGCAGUUGGAUAUCCUUAAAACUGAAAUUUUGUUUUUUGCUUGAAAACAUAAAGCACUUGGAUUUUGAGGGUUAUGUAAGGGUCCAAUUUACAUUUCUUUUGCAUGACUGGAAAUAAACAUUACAGCCUAAGCACAUGAACUUGGCAAUGUUUUGAAUGCUUAUGCUUAUGUCCACUUUUUUAUAAGCAAUCUUUGGGUAACUCGUUACUUUUCAAAUUAAUUUGAAAACAAGUCAAUAUAGACGAUUAUUAUUGUUGAAAACAGGGAUAAGUAUCCUCCUGCUGAAGAAUACCUGAGCUAUGCUGAAAAGUCACAAAUUAAUCUUGUGGAAGUAUUCAAAAGCAUGCAAGUUGAUGAAGAGAGACUGCCUCUUGAAAAUGGUGAUUCUGGCCAUGAGGUAUGUUGUGCUCUUUAUACUAAAUCUUUUAUGUUGUCACACUACUUUUGUGGAAUUUCAGUAUGAGCAUCUGUGCAUGGAAGCACAAAUAAUGGAUGAUACAGGUUUUUGAUUGACCAAGACAUUCUAGUAGAUUUUCAUAUUUUAUUUUGUCAGAAUUAUCCUGCAACUGCUUGUAUCUGCAUAAUUUGAAAGGCUGCUAGUCUAGGUACACAUGUUUCUAGAAAAAUCAUUUGUAAAAUUUGAUCAAGUUUCCAUAGUCUAUAAUGGACCCUGGUUGGAUAAUUGAUUAUCAAUUUGGUGAGGUAACAUCUUUGUUAGAAAAGGAAGAGGCUAAUGAGAAGCAUCUACUCAGUGUUUUGAAAUGCGCUUGGGCGAGGUGAGGCCUGAGCACCUCGCACAAUGGCCGGGCGAUGUGCUUCAAUGAAGCGCCACCUGGGCACUCGCCUCAGCCCAAGCAUCAGGUACUUCAGGCGAGUGCCCAAUUGAAUAGGAACUAGAUUGUCAACUGGUUUAAUUGAAUUAGGUGUUAGUUGGUUCGAUUGAACCAACUAAGCACAGGUAAACAAACCCCUCCCCUCAUGCUACUCACGCACGCACAGUAAAACCCUAACUACCGUCGCUACCCUCGACACACCUCUACUUCAUCGUCGAUGCUUCCAUGCGUAGCUCUCUCUGUCAUUGACGGACAGGUCCGACGCUUCUUUUGUCGUCGAUGGAUAGGUCCAAAGACCCUAUCACUAUAGCUCUUGUGCAUAAUUUCCCCCACCGUCGUUGCUUUCUUGUGCAGCUCACUCCGUCAUCAAGGGACAGGUUCGUAGCUUUCUCUGCCACCGAUGGACACAUCUAAUGCUUCCUCCAAGCCCCGACAUCGCCAUCCGCACUUUCUCUGCCGUCGUUCAACAGUUCCUCCAUCAUCGUCACCCUCUCCUUCUCCAACUUCCACCAUCAGUGACUCCUCUUCUCACUACUGCAAACUAUUAGAACUAUUAACACCUUUAAAACUGAUAUUAAUUCUUAGAACUGUUAACCCUAUUUAGAACUACUAAUCCCUAAUUAGCAUUGUUAAUUGUUACUUAGAAAUGUUAUUAAUACCUGUUUAGCAUUGUUAAUCUCUAUUUAUUUAGAACUAUUAUUAGAAAUGCUAUUAAACCUAAUUUAAUAUUUUAUUUUAUUUUUAUAAUCAUAUUAUAUAUGUUUUAUAUUUUUAUAUUCUAGAGCAUCUCGUUUCGUCCAAGCAAGUGCCUCAUGCAUUUUGAGACCUUGGCACCUAACGCUUUUAUAGACACUACAUCUGAUUAUGAAACGGAGACUAUGCUGUUGAUAUAGGCCCCAGAAAUCUGAGGACAAAUUACUCUAUGUUAUCUCUGAAUUAACACCAGUGGUGAUGACUUUCAGCAUAUUAGGUUGCUUGACCGAAAUUCUGGUGGAGCACUUUUGUUUUUCUAGUGCUUGUUUUUUCUAACAAGAUUGGUAUUUUGUGGCACAGUGACACAUGUCAAUCAUGUUGUACAAAGUUAAAUUUCAGCUUUUAGCCUUCAGAAAAUUCUUCUUCUGUUAUGUUAACAUUAGUGGCAUAUUCAUCCUGGAUUGUGCUUUAGAUUAUUUUUUGUAGCCAAAUUAUAGUUACUGUUGAUUUGUGACAACAGGUACUUGAUCCAUGCUUCCAAGCUUACCUUCAUAUAUGAAAAUUUCAUGUUCUGAAACCAUAUUAAGAUUAUUUUCUUUCUUUAAAUCCUUAAUUAUCGUAAUUAGGCACUUUAAAACUCAUGGUAAAAUGAAUUUUUUUCUUUUUUGCAGGCAUGUUCUUGGGUUUUAUCUUUGACUUGUUUAUUUGAAUUUUUUUUCCCAUUGCCACCUUACUCUACGUUAUCCAAUGGAUUUGCAGAUGAGGGAAGAGGAUGUCACAGAGGAAGGUCAAGACGAAGCUGUUGAGCAUGAUGUGAAUGAUUCUACAGAUAGUACUGUCCCGGUUAAUGAGAUCAAGGGUUAGAAACAGUGGAGUAUGAAUAAUAGAGGAACUCCACCAGCCUAAACACAAUUGGUUUUGGUAACUAUAGAAUCCAAAUUGUGUAUGGUGAUAAAUUGUUUCCAACCUCAAAUCGUACAUUUCUCUAGAAAAGUCACUAGUGCUACUGGUAUUAGAAAAAUCAGGUGUUUGUAACAUGAAAUGUUGGAUUAGAGCUCAACUUAGUCAUAUAGUAGACGAUGAAGGUUCUUUUUGUAGAUCAUUAUUCCGAUUGAUUCCUUCCAUAUGAUCAGCCUUGGCUGCAGAAAUUUAUCUUCAUAUUGCAGUGUAAAUUGCUGUCCUCCGGAGCUGACAUUUACUUCCACCCAUUGUUGUAAAAACAUUGUCGAGGCCUGUUUUGGUAUUUGCCUAUGCAUGACAUGUUUUGAGAGAUUGCAACUCCAACCAGGUAUUUUGUUGCUUGCGAGCCAUAGAUUAUUUUGCGAGUGUAAAUUGAAGUUGGCAGGUUUUGCACUUUCACAGAUCGUAUGGGAACCAUUCUUGUAAGAUGCAGAGGAUAUGUUUCUUUCUUUUUUAGCUUUUCUCUGUAUAUUGUGACUAAUAGCUGUUCCUGACUUUCUUUUUUGUCGAUGUUGCAGUUCUUAUCCUACUUACUGUAGCCACUUGAGCUUUGAAGUUCCAUCACUUGAUAAGGUAAAAACACAGGUUACAUUAUCCUCAACAGGGAUGAAAUGAGACUUAAUACUUCCUUUUAAAAACUCUGGCUGGGCCAACUGUCAUAUUUUUGUACACUAUGAAAUAGACGUGCAUUAUAUUCCUUACUCUUUGGAUCUCAUGUCGCAUCUACCCUUCGCUCGUUUCAGCUGCAUGUAUAAAUAUUCUUAGUCCAGUUAUUUAGCUGUUUAAUAUAACAAGAAAAUCAUAUGUCGAUUUGGAUAAAAUUUGUACAGUUGGUAAUAAUUUUACGGAGUGGCUUAAUUAUGCAUACUGACAUAUCAAACUUCCAAAAGAAUAAGAUUUUGUUAAAGUUCAUUUGGUAGUUUGCGUUGAUUCAUUGGGCAUGAUUUCAAAAUUUUGACACCAGUGCUUUUAUGCAUAUUUUCUUUAUAUUUGUCAAAUGAUUGAAUUUUUUUUGUGCUACAUGAAUCACUACGACAAUUUUAGCAUGACUGUGUUUCUCGUUCAUUAUGAAUUGCACAUGACCCCAUUUUGGGGUGAUCAGAUUUUUUGAAAUGAAACUAUGUGCUCUGUGUUAUUCUUUAGACUAGAGAUUUUUGUCCUUGUGAUCCAUGGUUUUUGAAAAAUUGCUAAUCAACGAUAUCAGAUUCAUGAAAUAGCAUAAAGUCACUGUGCAAUUGAAUCCUGGAAAAUUAGUUAGAAUUAUUAGAUGCUUGGUCGUUUCAGCCAUCCUUUUCCUGCAUUAUCGAGGAGACAGCUCUAUCCAACUAUUUUUAUUCUAUUAUGUCAUUUAUAAAGGAUUAUUGUAUGUUCGUUUUUCACAAACGUUCUCAAAUGCCUAUAAACCAAGCUGGGUUUUCCAAUGUAAUCGGUUGGAAUUUUUUUAUGGUUUUUGAUAGAUAUAUUAACUUCUUAAAAUUGCUACUUGCUAGUUGGGGAGUCUCGUGUCUUUUAGGCUUGUAAACCAGUUAAACCUGAUCGGAUCAGCUCAGAUAGGAUUGGAUAUCUGAUCAAAUCAGUCUAGACCUGAUCCAUUUACAGGAUCAGUUUGGUGCCAUGUUGAUGGCAAAUGGGUGUUUUUGAUUUUUUUUUUUCUUGCUUCUAAGAACUUUAACAGUCAUGUUUGUGCGUGAUAUUGCCCUUCCUAUUCCCUGGGUUGGCACUCAUGGGUGGUAGAAAUAAUUUAUUCUACUUUGGAUCUUCUAUUAGGAUUUAGUCGCAUAGUUAUAUUACAGAAAAUGUUAUUGAGUUAUGGUCUUUGCAGGCUUCCUUAAAAACGCUGAGGUAUUUAUUAAUCAGUUCUUUUACCUGUUGGAAGCUAUCACAAAAGCAGCGACUCCGAAGUUUGAUAACUGGAAACACAAAUCUGACCUUUAAAUCCCUUUCCUGCCACAACACCCAAACCUGUGAAUUCUCUUUCUUUUCAGGACCGUUACACCAUCAAUGAUUUCUCCUACCUCUCCAAUAAGAUAUCUGUGGCUCACAUUCGACCAGUCAAUGCUCGUCACCCAGGCUAUUGAAUGGUAUUUGUUAUAAUAAGCUCCAUUUAGACUAUCUGCAUCCUGAAUGACAGUUGACUGCAUAAGUAGCUGGUUUUGUGGUUUUAUGUUUGGAAUCCCUUCAUUCUUCCCACGCUUUUGCUUCUUCGUCUCAUUUAUCUAGCAUUAUUGUCUCACAUGUCUCAUACUGCACACUUUCCAAUCUAACCUUACUAGUUCUAGUUUGUCACAGCCGAAAGCAAAGGGAGAAAUAAUUGAAUUCUUUCCAGCCAAUUCUGACAUAAAAAUUAGCGUACUACAUCUUCUUUGGAGAGACUAAACUUAAGAGGCCGACUCUUUGGUUAAUUUUAGUGUCACUGUAUGAGACUUCUUUGCCUAAAUCCUGUAACAUGUCAUUGUCAAAAACUAGACACUUUUGCAGCAAGCUCUGUUCCCUUCAUGUUUGAUGUAGCAGAAACCUCUCCCUUUUGUGCUAAUUAGCACACUGGUUUCAGAGCAAAAGUCCCAUUCACAUGGGCUCCUUUUGGUUGUAACCCAGGUUCAUGGUGCACCAUUAUCUUUUAGAUUCCAAUCACUUUAUCUGCCUCUUAGUUGGAUCCAUUAUUGCCUUCCUUUACCACCACCAUCUUUAGUUUGAGGUCCCUCGUCAGCUCAGGGAAGAUAUCAGAUAUAAAGCAUGCAUUAUGAAGGUGAGCUAUUGAGUUGUUAUAUUUGUUAUUUGAUAUUUUUCCGACGAAACCUUACUAAUUUUCUACUUCACUUUUCUAUUCCAUGAAUUUAUACCUAUAUUCUAACAUAGGAAUGAAGUCAGUGGAUCAUGAGAAGUGCGGAGUCUACAUGAACAGCUUUCUUCCUUACGUGUGUAACAUGGCACUGCUCUGCUCUGCUCUGCUCUUUUGUGCACGUAACAGGCAUCCCCAACCAUUACAAGCUGUGGCUUGCAAGAGACGGGGCGAGAUGCUUUACGUCUCAAGCCACGAUCUACGGAUCGGACGGUCACGAUGGGGAGGAGAAGAAUCCAAAAGCCCUAAAACUGGUGCCGUUCAGGAGAUGGACGUCUGAGAUCGGCCCAUCAGGACUCCUAGAUGCGUGUUUCCACACCAUGGGCUGCCAUAAAUAGCGAGCGAAGGUCGCCUCCUUCCUCAGCAAGCAAAAGGCGCGACAUGAUAUAUACACGAAAAAUUAGCGAGGAAGGCAUCCACCACCGCCUUCAACUCCGUCUCCAUCCUUCGCCGUCACCGCCUCCUCUUCUUCCUUCCAUCUCCCACUCGAUCGAUCACAAGUUUCAAGUCAUGCUGAGGUGAGUGAUUCUUCUCCCAUCGAACGUUUCGGAUUCCUCCUCUGCGGUGUUAUCUUCCUCUGUUGUUGUAGUUCGAACCAGUUCGGAUACAUUGCUUCUUGUUCAUAAAAUUACUUGCUCCAAUUCUUAUGGAGAUUUGAAACGACUACUUUGAUGUUUCAUUUCUUUGGAGAUUAAAGGUCUUCAGAAAAAUAUUCAUAUUUAAUUCAAUAUAUUUGAUGUAUUCAUGAAGCCAUGAACUAUACAGAGUAUAAUUUAGAGGAGUGAAAAAUGCAAGAGAUACAAAGAAGUUAACCUUAUCAAUGCUCUUCGAAUUACCAGUACAAUUCUAUCUCUAUCCCUUCUAAGCAAUGGAAGUUGUCUGGUGAGAGUUUCCUCUUCUCAUGCAACCAACUGGUCCUUUUCAGUUCACUCAUCUUCUUUCCCACUGCAUUGUGUUUUCUUUCUACUCUCUCUCUCUCUCUCUCUCUCUCUCUCUCUCUCUCUCUCUCUCUCUACAUAUAUAUCUAUCCAUCUGUCUUUCUACACACACACACACAUCAUCAACAUGAUAAAGAGCUGCCUAUAUAAUGGUUCCUUUAACUUUGCUUUACGCUUAAUCAAUGCGAAGAAUUGGCUUACGUGAUAAGCUACUUUAAUUUUUUGUCCAUUCUGUUCUUUUUAACAUGUGUAGUUUUCACUACCCUUUAAUCCAAUGAAGAUCUACUGUUUCACAAGCUGGUUCGAGAAGGUCUUCACCAAAGAUCUCAUUUUGGUGGAGCAUCCACACUGUGAGACCUGCACCUGAUGUUGGAUUCCGUUCGUACUCGAUGGAUGGCAUGGAUGUGGCCCGAGAACGGGAACUUGCAUGUUAUAAGGCCAACCGUGUGUGAGACUUGGUUGGUCUGUGAUCCGGGGUACUCGGUCGCGGCCCUGUGGGUAAUGCCACGAGUUCUGAGAUGAUCUGAAGCUUAUCUCAUUCCCUGUCGGUGUGUCAUUUUAAUGACCUGAUCAUCGAAAGAUUUCUCUUCUUAAGGUGACAAGAAGCUCGUGUUGUGUUGCAGUAAUUAACAGAUUGUGUUCGGUAGAGAUCGAAGAGAGCCGCCAAAGACGUCGAUGCGAUGACGAAUACUGCCAUGGAGGAGGAUCCCCACAGUAAUGUCAGCAGCAGCAGGGACAGGUACGCUGAGUUCAUGAAGGACUCCUGCUGCGCCCGCUACUUCCUCGGGCCGAACCCCUCCAUUGCGAGGUUCGUCUACGCUCUCAUCUUCCUCGUCACCUGCCUCCUCGCGUGGACCGUUCGAGACUAUGGCCGCAAUGCCCUCUCCGAGCUCGAGAGUUGGUCUUCUUCCCUCCGUGCCUGCUUCUUACCUGCAUGGCACUGCAAUCACACCAUCUCGCUUCUUCUCUGCAGGACUCAAAGGUUGUCAUGGUGCUCGAUAUUGUUUAGGCGCGGAAGGUGUACUCCGCGUAAGCUUUGGCUGCUUCGUAUCCUUCUCUGUUAUCUCCUUUUCUGGUUGUUCUAAGAUGUGCUGCAGAGUGCCUCUAGGAAAGCAUUGAUGUACCCGAUGGAACGGUGGAGUUCUGUUGAGGGCUAAUUAUCAUCCUGAUCUAUAGAUUUAAAAAAUUUAUAUUAAAAUUUCUAUAGUUAUGAAAGUGAAACAUUUAACCUCGUUUACUCUAACGUCAUUUGUUAUACCGAUGAAAGAUACAGUAUGUGAUAGCACGUGCAGGAAUGACAUGAAAAUGAUAGAUAAAAAGAUAAUUUCAACGGUUGUGGUGGACGAUGACGCUAUGGGUGAUUGGUAUGGUAAUGGUCGACGAGAACAAUAUGAUGGUCGACUUUGUCAAUGUCGAUUUGAACAUCGAUGAUGAGGAUGAAAAGGAGACAGAGUGGUGAGGCAUCUACAUUCACGUCGGUACCGGAGGAGGAAAAGGGGAGAGGUGAGGCAUCUGCGUCGGCCCCACACCACUCUGCCUCCUCUUCCUCUUUCGGUAAUGCGAUGGUCGGCAAGAAUAAAGAGGAGGCAGAGCAAUGUGGCAUCAACACAGAGGACGCAAUGUGAUGCCACACCGAACGAUGGGGUGGUCAACGCAAACAAAGAGGAGGUAGAGUAGUGUGGUGUCGACGCAAAUGCCUCACCUGCCUCCUCUUCCUCCUCCGACGUUAAUGCAAAUGCAUAGCGACACCAGAGGAGGCAAAGCGGUGCGGUGCCAAUGUAGAUGCCUCACCACUCUGCCUCCUCUUCCUCAUUGCCAUCGAUGUUCAGAUCAACAUCGGUAAGAUCAACUACUGUAUUGUUCUUAUCGACCACCACCACAACAGUCACCCAUGAUGCAACCAUCCACCACAACCAUUGAAAUUACCUUUUUGUCUAUCAUUUUCGUGUCAUUCAUACAUGUGAUGUCACGUGUUGUAUAUUCCGUUGGUAAGCUGACAACGUUAUGGUAAAUGAGGUUAAAUGUUUCAUUUUCAUAACUACAGGGAUUUCAAUGUAAAUUUUUUGAAGUCUAGAGAUCGAUCGGGAUACUAAAGAGGUCAAACUAUAUAGGGUAAUCUGUAAUUAACUCUUCUAUUGAUGAUCUUUAACUUCAAUCAAGUUAUUCUUCUUUGUCAUGUUUCUGUCCACCAUGGGGACGAAGAAACUAGAAGACUCUCGGAAUUUGUGGCACUCCGAAUGGUGGCCUGCCAAGAUCAUCAUUUGGAUUGUCUUCAUGGUGGUACCAUUCUUCAUACCCUCUGCAUUUAUCCAGCUCUAUGGUGAGUUUAGUUAAGCAUCACCUAUUGUUUCUUGAUUUAGAUUCUGUACUUGCUUCUAUUCUGAUUCUGAUUUUGACAUUUUUCUUCUUCCAGGGAAAUUUGCACACUUUGGUGCAGGGUAAUAAUACUUAUCAUUUGUUUUUUUUUUUAAGUUUAUAUUAAUCUGCUAAAAGGAUUAAUGACAUGAGUGAUCAGAGAAUAUAUUUCUCUCUUUUUUUUUUUUCUUCUUUUCAGCGCAUUUCUUAUGAUUCAGCUUAUCAGCGUAAUCAGUUUUAUAACUUGGCUAAACGACUGCUGCCAAUCUGAGAAAUAUGCAAAGAGAUGGUAUGCUAAAUAUAUGUUUGAUAUUACAUAAAUCAAGGAGCUUUUCAGUUCUUACGGACUUGCAAUCUUUUCAUCGAUAUCUGUUCAAUUCUGUGUGUAGAGUAUUAGAUACCUUGUAAUCUGAUGUACUUCAAACUUUGAUGUACUUCAAACUUUUGGAAACCAUGAAUUGCAUCCUUGCAACUCUACCUAUAAUUGUGUAUGACUGAUCUUUCAACAAAAUAUUUUUAUAUACUUCAGUAUCUGAAUUCUAAAGAUGAAUAUACAAAACUUGAGUUUGAUGGUGUAGCAAAUAAGUUCAUUAUUUGAUUCAUUUCUGGAGAUGAUCAAUUCUCUUCACCGUCUCCAUAAUGUAGUUCACUCAUAUCUAUCAUAGGGCAAAUAAACAAAGCUGAUAAACCCUUUAUGCAAAAUUUUAAUGUUCAGAGAAGUAUCAAUCAUAACCACCCUUUCUAAGGUAAGUAUCAACAUAGCAAGCUUGCCGAUAAACUUAUUCUUCUACUACUCUUGGCCGUGGAGUUUUAAACAAGCUAUAGAAUUGAUGUUGUAAACUUGUUAUAUAUGCUGAAAACAAUCGUGAUGGGAACAAGAACGUCAGAGAUUAUUUAUUCAUGAAAUAUAUAAUAAUAAUAAUAAUAAUAUCUAUAUCGAGUUUAAUCCCAGAGACUCUUGAUAUAAUUGUUGCAUACAGGUUAUAGCAAAUUUGGUGACAAAUUUUUUGUGUUCUACUUGUACUGCUUUAAAUCUUUUUUUUGUCUUCUUUCCUGUUCAUUAUAAAAUGCAUUGAAUUAUUAUACAAAAAUGUUGUUUCCUCUGGAUUGAUCUCUCCAAUGGUAAGGCUAACAAUGGAACCUUUUUGCAGCCAGUACCAAGUGAUGGUUCUCUCAGCCACAGCAUAUGUUUCAUCCAUCUCAGGAAUUAUUUUGAUGUAUAUCUGGUAUGUGCCCAGUUUAUCCUGCAGCCUCAAUAUCCUCUUUAUCACCUUGACCCUGGUGCUUCUACAACUCAUGAUCCUCACAUCAAUGCAUGCGAAGGUAAGUAGUGUUAUUUAUUCUACAGCAUCCUACAGAUAAAAUCAGAAAUGGUUUCUAAGAUCUCAUCAUGUCAUCUCCUGAGUAGGUUAAAGUAGGAUUUCUGGCACCAGGGCUGAUGGGAAUGUAUGUUGUGUAUCUUUGCUGGAGUGCAAUCAGGAGGUAAUUAUUUGGUUUUUUUCUUUUAAUACUGAUGUUAACAGCCUCAUUUUACUUUAUAUCUUCGACAAUGUAAUGCUGUUCUAUCCUCAACACAGUGAGCCACAGACAGAGAUCUGCAAUAAGAAAACAGAAGUUGUGACAAGUGCAGAUUGGCUUACUAUUGUGGUAAUUUUCUUAAAAGCUAGAUGAAGAGCAUUUUUAUAGAAAUUCCAGAACUUGCAUGCAAUAUUUAAGGAUUAUAUGAAAGGAAAAGUUUACCUGUUCUUCCAUAUCUCAAAUUGGAUUGUUAAUCAGUGAUUAUGACAUUCUAUGCAUUCCCAGGUGACCAUAAACUAGGCAAUAACUUUCAGACCCAGUUAAUGUCAUCAAGGUUAUGGUAAUCCAUAAAGAUUGCUUAGGCUCAAUUUAUGAAUUUGAUUAAUUUUAUCUUAUACAUGAUAGUAGAUGAAUCAUGAUAGUAUCUGAUAUUGACUGCUGGGCAUCAUUUUGUUCCGAUCAUAAAUUGCUCCUAGAUACAAUCAUCUUAUUCAUUCUUGUGGCUUCAUCUUGACCAGAGCUUUGUUAUUGCUGUCCUUGCAAUAGUAAUUGCAACAUUUUCAACAGGGAUAGACUCCAAAUGCUUUCAGGUGGAUCUCACUUACAUCACCCCACUACAUUUAUUACUGUCCUUCCAUUCACUGAGAGGGUUUUAUUGGUCACAUGCAGUUCAAGAAAACUGAAGCAGAGUCAGAAGAUGAUGUUCCCUAUGGGUAUGGCUUCUUUCAUUUUGUCUUUGCUAUGGGAGCAAUGUACUUUGCCAUGCUAUUUGUGGGAUGGAAUGCACAAAACACCAUGCAAAAGUAAGUUUUCAUAUCCAUCAGCUUGCUUUCUUACUUCAGGGGUGGCACUCAUCAAGCUUCAUGCAAUUAUCUGCACAAGCCUUUACCAAUAUUUCAUGAUUAAAGAAUAAUCAAGCUUUAUGUUAUUUGUGUUGAUCUUAUUAAUGAUCAUGCAUUUUGUGCUUAUCAGGUGGACAAUAGAUGUUGGAUGGGCCAGCACUUGGGUCAGAAUUGUCAAUGAAUGGGUAGCAACACUUGUCUACAGUAAGUCUUGAAAUCUCUCUUGUGGUUAAGAUUAAAGAAUAAAGCCAUUGUUUGCUUCUGCUUCUGGUGAAUUGUCUAUCAGCCAUAUUACCAUGAUCAUUGCAUCUGCAUAAAUGUUUCCAAGUAAACUUAUUUUCCUCCCCCUUUUCUUUUAGAUCUACUACUGAUAAAUGUUAUUUUCUCAAGAGCUUGUACUGUUCUGGUCUGAAUAAAAUGAAUUUUAGCUCAAUAAAUUGCAUGAGUCUUCAAGGUGGAAAAAAAAAAUCCUAUCUUUAGAUUUUAAAUCUGUUCCGAAGUAUGAUGAAUGGCUAUCUGAUUGAAAAUUGCUGGGUUGUGGGGAGCAAAAUUAUGUUGGCUUAUCAAUGGUAAAAUAUAAAUAAUGAAAAUCUUAUCUUAUUUACUAGCUUAAGCUUUUUAAAUGGUGGCAAAUCAUGUGUGAUGUAGUUCAACUUUCCUCUCUAACUAAACCUAUCCUACCAAGCCACAUGGAAGGGGAAGCAUAAAAUGUAUCAUUAAAUUUCAUUUCUCAUUAACAGAGGCUAAAUUUUAAUAGCAAUGACCAUUGUUUCUAUUCUUCUGAUGAUUGCAUCUAUCAUCUUUUUUUCUUCUUUUAAUAUGAUCCUUAGUUAUAGUUUGAAACCUUUUGCUGCGAGCAUUCUAGUGAUACCCAUAUUUGCAAAUGUUAUGUGGCUUCUGAUUUGUAUUCAACCUGUUUUUGCUGUUUCUUAAUACAGUAUGGAUGCUGGUUGCACCCCUUGUGUGGAAGAGCAGAAGGCAAGCAGAUCCAGUAUAGGACAUGAGGAUUGUUCUUGAUUUCUUGUGUAGAGAGUACAUAGGCAACUGCUGCUUCUUGUGUAGAGAGUUGAUAGAAUCAUCAUCAGCUCCAGAUCUCUAUAUGUCUAGCAACUGCAUUCUAGCUGGUACAAGUUAGAUUGUCUCAAGCAUCACCCACAACACAGUGGUAUUGAGUUCACAGCAUCAGUUGUGAUGGAUCCCAAAGCAUUCUUUGGAGACUUUAUGAGUUGGCUGCAGGUUUCAGGCUGUGGGUGUGGAUGCAAUGGCAUACACAUCCUCUGGAGUUGCUCAAGAGCCAGAAAGGAUUGUAUAUAUCGCAUAUCAAUUCUUUAAGAAUACUAGAAUCUCAAAUUCAUAUAAGCAGGGAAAUGUAAUAGGGUUGUGAUGUCCAAAUGGAUGUCUGAGUCUAGUAUAGCUGCUAUUUGGUGCCAUCUCAGAAAUGCAUAUUUCUGCAUCUUCCUGGUAGGAAAGCAGAAUUCUGAUCCAAACAUGUUGAGCAAAAUGUAACAGAUUCUUUUUCUUUCCAUUAUAUUAUGAUUUCCUGUUCUUGUUACAAAUUGGCUAUAAUUCCCACAACUGCAUACUUCUGCAUCCACCUAGUUGUCAGGUUUUGAGCAAGGUAGAAAGCAGAUCCAAACAUGGGUGAAGCAAAAUGUAGAAAAUUCUUUUUCUCUUUCCAUUAUUUAUGAUGUCCUUUUUCACCUUUUGUUAUAUAUAUAAUGUUUUGAGCAAGGUGUAGAAUGUUUUACACCUACAACAUUUGUCUGGUGAUAUAUAAUUUAUUAUAUAUAAUAUUUAUCUGGUGGUAUAAUAUUAAUAUUUUUAUACCUAAAACAUAGACCCAAUCGCCAAAGAUUAUGGUUCAAAAUCUUAUAGUAAAAGAGUGAUUUUUCUUUGAAGAUGUCAACUAAGCAAAUCUCUUUCACUGGUCCUUUGCACAAAGAAAAAAAUGAUUAAUUGCAUACCAUUCUAAACCCUAACCUUUCCAAAAUGUGUCCUAGUUCAAUUAUAAAGAUAUGCUUUCAUCAAACUCAUUAUAGAGAUGCAUUUCUUUAUUUAGUGAGAAAGCUGGCACUGUUUCAUAAUCAUUCAUGGCAGUGAAACUUGUUUCUAUAGCUCAUGAUCUCAUUCUCUGGAACAUAGAAAUGGUCAUCUAACAAGAAUAUCUUCCAUGUACUUCUUCUAGGCAUAGCCUAUAUGAUUAUUAGGCUUUAACCAUAACAAGAAGAUGACACGACAAACUGAUCCAACAAAAAUAACAACAGAGGCAUUGCAUAUAUGCAUGAGAUUCUGGUUAUUAAGGUUCCAAUAUAAAUCGGUACAAGAGACAAAGAUUGGAACAGCAUGAAAGCCAUCUAAAGAAAAUCAAGUCUUAUGAUCAGGUCAUAGGCGAGCAUUCCAAUGUUUAUUUUGCAGUUCAACAAACAGAUUAAGACUAUACUAAAGCUUCUUAGCUUCUUACCCACGUGGAUCACCGUGCUGGUUGUUGAUUGUAGUGACUCUUCUCUUUCUUCUUUGCAGCAGCGAGCCUAGCACUUCUUGCAGCUGCCUCGAUGGCGGCAGCUUUUGCAGCAGCAUCCAUCUCUUUAUUUGAUUUCUUCUUCUUCAUGGAAGCCACCUUUUUUAUCCUUUCCUUCACAUCAACUGCAGAUGCAUCUUCUUCCUCAGGCUCAGCAACCACCUCGUCCAGGCUGUUGUUAUUGUUAUUGAGAUCAGCAGGCUGUUCCACAUAUUCCUUGGUGUCCUUUGAAGAUUUCUCCUUUUUGGCCUUCUUUUUCUUUGAACUUUUGAUCUCCAAAGGAGCACCUGAGUUUUCCUUUUUCUCUCCACCGCCACUUUGCUCCGGUUGUUUCUUGUCUGAGCGUAUUGAUGGAAUGAGGUCAUUGUAAAACAUACAAUAUAUUGGUCGUGAACACACAUACUACAUAAUUAUUCAUAUGCACUAGAAUGGAUGUGACUAAGACUAUAUGGAUGUGAAAGAAACGAGAACAAAAUGAGAGGGCAUAAACACAUGUAAAAUGUUUAUGAAUACGCAUAUGAAUGUGUUACAUAUGCAGAAUCACUUUCAUUCAUAGAACUGUUUGUAUCACAUUAUAUGAAGGGUAAAAGUGAUACCAUUCGUCUCGUCUUGUGCAGCAUUACUAUCUUUGCUGGAAAUGCCUAGCUCAUGCAGAAGUGCAUCAAGUUCUUCCAUUUCCUUUUUCUUAAGCUCCUUCUUUGACAGUUGCCGUUCAGCAUCUUUGGAUGGUACUGAAACAGAAGCAGGUUUCUCGAUAAUUGGUUCAGUUGCAACGGCAACCUCAGGUUCAUGUUCAGGUUCCUCCUCAACAUCAUCAUCGCCGAUAUCAAGACCAUCAUCUUCGCUUUCACUUUCCUAAACAAAUGUGCAUAAUAGACAAAAAGAAAUUCUGUCCAAGUCAGAUAAAAAUGAAAAUAUUCAAUGUGUGCUCAACAUUAGUCAAACAGACCAGCUUUCCCAGAGCUUUUCCUACUUCCCAAUACCAUGAUUUAUAUUCAAGAGUGCAAGUUGAUGCACAUGGCCAGAUAUACACAGGUAAAUGCAUACAAAUGCAUAGCAAAAGAGAAAAGUUCCUGCAGAUUUGUAUAAUGACUUAGAUCACAUUCUUAAGGUACAGAAUGAGAAAUUAUGGACCUAUUAAAAACAGAAACAGAUUAAGAGACAACAAAUAAAUUAGAACCACCCAAAAUAUUGAAUUUGCACAUAGCUCAACCAAUAGAUGGAUAAAAACAAAACAAAGCAGAUAGUGGUCAACAGAUCCAAAGAGAUAAACAUGAAGUCUGACAAAUUGACACAUAUCAUCGAGCAGAUUGGAGACACUACAUCUGACUUGCAACCUUGCACUUCUGUAAGUAACCAAUGAUUACCUGAUCGGUAGUCUAUAAAGCUAAAAGAAUUUGAUACACAACAUUAGCUAUCUGCAGAUGUCAUAAAGGCCAUACUGCCACAAAACUCAAAAAAAGAAACCAACAGAUGUAGUCACAACAGAAACUGGGAAAAGAAGACCAAGAACCUGAAGCUUGAUUAUCAAUUUUCCUUUAUGGUAGGAACUGUAAUCAAAUGCCAAGUAUAAAGAUGCACAUGAGACAAUAAAUUAUACCAGAUUUAAAGACAGCUGCAUGACCAAGAAUAUUAGGCUUGUUCCCAAAAUUCUAACAAUGAAAUUUUUCACAGAAUGAUGAAACAAGUAGAUCAUCCAACAUAAAACAAUGAUUCCAAAGUAAAUACAUUUGAUAGGUCAUCACAAAAUCAGCAGUUUCGGAAAAAACAAGCUCAAAUACAAACUCAACAAGGUUAUACACAGAAUUUUCAUUCCUCAAUAUCAUUCCUAAACAAAAUAGGUUAUACAAUAUAUGAAACCAAAAACUGGCAAAAUGCUCAGUAUGCACUCUCAAAAAUGCAAUGUAGAUUCAUCUCAUAAAAUAUAUACAUCCAGUUAUUUUAGCUUUCAGGUUGACAUCUACAAUUCUAAUUACUACUACAUCGUAUAAAGAUAAACAUGAUACUCUUCAUGUCAAUUUUAACUUUUAGAACAACAUAGAUAUUUUUACUAAUAUUGCAUUUGCAAGUAUUUAUUUUUGAAUGCUAGUAAUCCUUUUGGAGAUCUUAUAAUUAAAUAUCAUUGAAAUUCAACUCAAGGUUUUCAAGAAAUCUACAGUCCAUUUGUUUCCUUGAAAAUGGAUCAUGUUUUAAGCAGAGUUAAUAGCUUUUGGUGCUACUCCAUAUGACACUAAGAUCAGAAACAUCCGAAAGACACAUAAUUUUGCACUAGUUUACAAUAAUAAUUUGAACUAUAGCUCUGUGAUGCAACUUGUAAGCCACAGGAAUCCAUAAUCAACAAAGGUUUGAGAAGCACUGAGGUGCUAUGGUUUCUUAAUGCCUAGGUGCAAAAAACGAGGUGAAGCACAGCCCCGUACGGACACCUUCUUGAAGAAAGUCAUAAUUAGCGCCAAGAUAUAAAAUUACCUAAAGCAUGAAUCAGUUAUUGUGAUAUUAGAGAUACAUACUACUAUCAUCAAAGGAAUGUCAAUAUAUCCUCCACAUGAAUGUCAAUUACAUACAAAGUUAUGAUUUUGUGUGACAAGGUAAUUCACUAAAGAAAUGCUUGUCUACUUCCAUCGAUAUAUGUAACAUUAGGACAUACAGAGACAUCAAAGUUUCCUAGUAUGUUGCAAUAACUACUCAGCUUGUAAGAUCAUAAAGCAAAAGAAGGCAAAAAAAUAAAACCACGUGUACCAAUAAAUUUCCAAUCUGCCUUAACACUUCAAGCAACAAUAAUACAUUUUAAGCCUACAUGAAAAAAACUGUCUAGAAUACCUAAAGCUAGUAUGCUAGAACUCCCAAAAUUACAAGCAGUACCUAAAGGCUAGAGUGCCAUAAGCAGAACAAAAUACAAGUGCUCCCUAAAAUUCCUUGCCUACAUAAGCAGAACUGACUGAUGUGAUGAUGUGACAACAUAACCAUUUUAAGCCACUAGCUUUCUAACUGGUAGUAACAAUAUGCUGAAAUAUCAACCAUCAUUUCCAACUAAAAAUUAUGAUUGGGCUAAAAAAACAUUAACCUACAUGGAAGAAUUAAGUAAAAUAACAGUAUAGCUUUACAUAUCAACAAAAACCCUCUACUUGAGCAUGAGAGUCCUUAAAGGUUAUCAUAAUAUCUGAUGUCAACUAAAAUAUUCUCUGCUAGUGAACACAGCAAAUGAGAAGUCAUAAUUGGCACAAAAGACUAUUAAUGAGACAAAAAUCGAUAAAUAAUAUACGAGUGCAGUUGUUUAGAUAAGGUACCAGACAUCUGCAUUUGAGACCUAAGGAAGAAAAAUAAUACAGCACCUUCACAGACAGUAAUCCAUUGAGAAGAGGAUGCAGGAACAAAACCAUAUCAGCAUAGUUAGUGAAAUACGCACUAAUCUCAGGCAAAACAUACACAAAAAUUAACCCGUGAAACAUUCGCUAUAGUAAUGGGUCUUUUCCAUCGAAUUCAGAAUACUAUAAUAUGGAUCAAAGUAUUUCAAUAGGUAUUCAUAACUCCAUUAGAAAUAUAUUGAAUUAUUCCAACAACAUCAUAAUCAUAUAUUCUGUAUGAAUCAAACGCACCAUGAAGUUGAAUAAAGUACUAUAAAGGCAACACUUCAGAAAUUUAAUUUAAAAUAUAAUAUACAAAUACUUCAACACUAAUCGACCAAAUAACUACCGACAGAGGAGAAAAAAAGUAAACGGUACACAGACCUCCUCUACGGCUGCCACAACUUCCUUUUUGGGCUGCUGUUCCGACAAGCCCCAAACAGCCUGAGGUGGCGCCGUGGUUGCGUAGUAAUCAUCAUCAUCAUCAUCGACAUCAGCCCAAGAUUUCACCGUCAACGGCGUCGGAGCCCAAAAUACCUGCUGCUCCGGCUCCCUCGCCUGGCUCUUGGGCGGACCCUUGCUCUUCGACAACUUGUCCGACUUCUUCUUCUUCUUGAGGGUCUCGAGCGCCGCGAAAACGUUGGUGCUACUAAUCUGCAAGGGCCCAUCGUCCCUCCUGCUUCCUCCUCCGACCAUAUCUCCUUGUCGCGAUGCCAAAACAGAUCCAGCCUGCGGUUUCAAGAUCUACAGGAAACUCUCAAAUCUCAGGAAAAACUCUUCCGCGCCAAAUCAACGGACUCAAGAUCAACACUUCGAUGAACAAAAUGAUCGAAUGCUUCGAUUCCAGCAGCAACUUCCGACCAGAUUUCUUACAGAAAAGAGUUAUUUUUAUUUGGCAGGAUCAAACUGAGAUAACAAAAUUUAGACUUUGGAAGGAGAGAAUGGGAAGAAAAAUAAUAAAAUAUUGGAAUUUCGAAUCUGUUGGUGGGAGAUCGGCCGAGAAAAUUGCAGAUGAUCGUGAGAGGGAGGAUCACGGGAAUCAAAGUCUAGGGUUUGGAAGCGAUAAAACGUGUGCUCGAGAGAAGACGAUGAGGCCGCGCGAUACCGAAGGCGGAGAGAGCUUAGGGUAAACGACCAGGGUAUUCAAUGGCCACGAUGGCGUCUAUUUUUCGCUUAUAUGACACAUCAUACUCUUCCCACCCAGUUGGGUCCCACCAGAAAUCCAAUAAUAAUACAGGUAAUCAUGGGUAGCCCGUCGGACCAUUGAGGAUUUAUGUUGUCCGCGAGGUACGGCCACGGUUAGCCGACGCCAUCAAACGCGUGGCCAUUGACCGAACGCCUCGCGUCAACUGACGGCCUCGGAUGACCUUUACUUGCGUUGCUCCGCGGUGCACCGUCGACCAUCGGGGUCUUGCGCCAUACGGUGACCAACAAUGUCCCCGGCGUGGGACCCACACUUGGCUCUGAUCACAAGACAGGUAGCUGCGGCUGGUAAGUCGCGUCCGCACUCGCUUUCGAUCACACAUUUGAUCGACGCUUCUCUUGCCUCACUGGUGCAACUGACAAUUUAAUUCUCUGUACUAUAGCAUAGGUCUCUAUCAUCGACGGUAUGUUUACUAAGGUGUUAUAUAUAUAUAUAUAUAUAUAUAUAUAUAUAUAUAUAUAUAUAUAUAUAUAUAUAUAUAUAUAUAUAUAUAUAUGUAUGUAUAAACAAAAGAAUUACUAGAGAGCAGAACCAACUCAAAAUUGUGUUCCUGAUAUGUUAGAACACAUGAACUUGCUCUGGAAUGUGUUACAAAGUCAUAUGCUUAAUGUUACUCGAUAAUGUCACGUAAUAUAAAAUAUAGUUUUAGUAAAAUAUUUUACUAAACCAUAGACUUUAUGAAGUUCUUGUAGCAGUUUUAUUGAACAUUAUGUAACUAUCAUAGUUGUUGCCAUCAUUAUUAUCUAUCAUCACUAUUUUAUUAUCAGAGUACCACCAAUUGUCUUCUAUCACAAUCACAUUUAUUAUCAUUAUCACUAUGCAUGCAGUCAUCGUCCCCUUCACAUUUAAUGUAGCAACUACUUAGUGACCUACUUCCACUAUCUCAUUCAUCACCAUGUUAUACUAAUGUUGUGAUUAUUAUUUUCAUACAAUUGCUACUAUUGUUUUUUUUUAUAAUUGUCAUCACUGUCAUCGCUAUUUUUAUAGCACUAAUAUCACCAUUAUUGCCACAAUGAGAAAAAAAUAAAAUAAAAUUCUACUCAUUAUUUAAAUAAAUAUAUGUUCGUGUACACCAACCAAAAUAAUGAAAAUUAUAAAAAUGAAAAUUGGUGAAGAAAUCUCAAAAAAGUUACUCUAAAUGUAUACGUACGCUGUGUUUGCUUGCAUCAGCAUCAGCAUCAAUCUUGCCGGUGGUAGCCCGUUCGCGCUCACACACUACAAUCACCUUUGAGGGCCAUCAAGCUCAGACCUGCUAAAGGUUACCUUAGGGCAUAUAUAUAUUAUUCUGUAUAGAAAUGAAGAUCCACCUGAUACAGCAUUUCUAUCUCAUUUUGCAGGCUUCUUUAUAUAGACAUGCACAGCACAAGAAACCCCAGGGCAACUCAUCAAAUGGGAGGUGGUAGAAUCAGGAUCAAAGGCCACAGAUCCUUCAAUACACAUGUAUAUCUUGAGGCUUGCACAGACUUUUCACUCCCAAACCGUUGUCUGGAAAUCAUGGUUCGUCGGAAACACAAGACAUCUACAGCAUCUCCAGAACUGGGUCUAUUACACCAACCCCCAGUUUCCCGUGAUGUGAAUUCCUGAGCUUCUGCUUGAGGUUGUAGUGUCUCCCACCUCGGUUUUGCAGAGGGGACAAAGUGCAUUUAUCUUAAGCCACUUAUCGACGCACUCCUUGUGGAAGAAAUGGGUGCAUGGAAGCUCACGGAGCUCCUCAUUGUCCACAUACUUUGCAAGGCAAAUGCAACAAACCUGCAGCAAUCAUGCAAGGUUAGGUAUUUGGCCUAGAAAAAAUAAAUCAACAUAUUACCAAAAAUUAAACCAAAGUAUUGUGAUCUACCAACAGCCUUUAAAUCCUAGGGCAUAUCCACAUCAUCUUUGUUUAAUUAUAAUUAUUGCUGUCACACUAUAACCAAAAGAUUCUGUGGUUACAUCCCGUGAAUCUCAUAUGAAUGUAGAAAGGUGUAUUUCAAACAUUCUUUAUAUGGUUUAACCAAUCUAUAUUUAUGGUUUGACCAAACACUGAUAAGGGAACCAUAAGCAUGGUACCACUUGAUAUAUCAUUUUUUAAUUAUUCCGUUUUUAGUAAUAUCAAGUAAAACGGAUUGAUCUCUCACUCAGUAUCUUGGUAUCAUUAAGAGCCAAUCAGUUGCUGAAACUUGGUAUCAAAUAAGUAUUAAAACCUUAAUCCUCUCUAAUGUUUCAAAUACAGGUCAAACCAAUAAGUACAAAUCAAUAUUUAUUUGUCCGACAAAGGACUGAUAUUGGGCAAUACAUGUUGGUAUUUUAUUUAUCCUUUUCAUGAUACCGAAUAGUACAGAUCCAUAUACCAGUCAGUAUAUUAUCAUGGCAUCUUGACUAGUGUUUAAAAUCUUGAUUCUCUCUAGUCUAGAAUGGCAUAAUUAUAUGUUUGUUUCACGAAUAAAACUAAAAGAUGGACAUAGAGAACAAAUUUAUUUAAAAAGCCAAAUCUGGGUUCCAAGUGGAGAGACAUGGGACUUAAAAGAUCUGAUUUGGUCUCUUAGUUAAAGAGAACUAAAUCUUGCUUCAAAGUGACUUCUGUUGCAAUAACAUAUCUAAUACACAUCAAUGGUCAGCCAUAUACAAAACGGUUUCUAAGAUGCCAUCAUAUAUAAGUAAAAUCUUUAACCUUGUUCAACUACAUUUACAAAAAAUUAUCUCAAAUGAAGAAAUAUGUAUGAUGUGUUUGUAACAACUUCAAUGUGGUGAACAGGUUCUCCAGUGCAAAAAUUUGUAACAUGAUGAAAUUAUGAGCAAUAUAGAAAUAUGUCGCAACAUGUUUGCAACAAUUUCAACAUGGACAGGUUUUCCAGUACAAUAUUUUGUAACAUGUUGUAACUUGAUAAAAUAAAUACAGAAAGAGGACAAAAGAGAGCUACUCCUACUGCUUUGGAAAGUCGGCUUACUAAUGAUCUUUUUAGUUAAUUUUUACAUGACUUGCGCUAUUGUCAUAGGUAUAUGGAUAAUAACGGCCAAGUGCAAGAAGCUAUGGUCACUAGGGGUCUGGAUAAAUUGAACGCUAUUCUACCUCCACAUUGCAGAGAUUUCUCCACGUACGAUUGGCAACCUCCAUGUGGAAAGAAUGUUUCAGCAAUCUGCACUCCUUGCAAUUAAGCAACCUUAUAACCAGACCAAGCCUUGCACUCAAACAGUACUAAAUUAUUGGUAAUAAACCUAACAUGAGUUUGGGUAACUUGAAAGACUAAUUAAUGAUCUUCCUAGUAAGUGCUACUGACUUUUUAGCAGAUGCAUCCAGAAUAUGAACGUCAACAGAAGUGAAAAAAAAACUUACAGCAUCUUCGGCAGAAACAAUUCGCUCCUUAUCAGUCCCAGCAGCCAAUAUCCCACCAAUGCCUUGAUUAUCCAAGUUAAUUUCUUUGUCGCCUCUAUUUUUCCUCCUCUUUGUUUUGAACUUGUAAGUUGGCAAUGCGUUAAUUGAUUCUUGGGUAGCACCUCUACCAUGAUUAAUAUCCUCUCUAAAGCCCAUGAUUGAUAUAAUGCAAGGCAAGCAGCAACAGAUUAUUGCACAGAGAAUGAAAGGCAAAGCAUACCCAAUACAGCUAAAUGCAAGGAACACGAUGCAUAACCUGGGAAAAUGAUCAAGUAGAACACGUCAACCGCCAAUAGAUACAAAAUCAAUAAAGAAAUAAUGGAUUCUGGAUGCAUACCGGUACAGGUUAGGGGCAUCAUGAGAAGAAGAGUGCCCACCAAACACCCACACAUUCCCAACAACAAACCACACAGCAAAAAAGAAAUCCAAUGCCAUCUUAAAAUGGUCAACUAGAGAAUGUAUCCUGCAAACCAGGGAAACGAUUAAAGAUAAACAACAGUAGGUAGUUUAUACAAAAGGUACUGAAACAUCUACACGUUAAUCUGUGUGGAUGGUUAAAUUCUUUUUUUCUGCAUCAAGAACUGUUAUAAUCUGAAAGCUAAAACUUAGAAUCCAAUGACAUUUUUCAUUCUUUUAAACAAAUUUCGUUAAGAUCACAGUCUAUAUGUGAUAGUUUCUGAGAAGUUGAAAGUCAUUGUCAUGAAUUGAAGAGUCCUACUGUAUUUACAGGGAUGUAAAGGGAAACAACCGAAACUAUAUAUUUAUGGUCAAUUGCAUUUAUUUUCCCAACAUCAAGAAUGUAUCAUAUUAAAUGUAGAUCAGCAAACUAAGUUAGAUUAGUUCAUUAGAAGCCAACAGACAAAUUUGGUUCCGAUACACUUCAGUUUCCUAAAUCAACCAAAAUUCUACCAAUAAAAUGUUAAAAAAAAAUGGAAUCCCAUGUUAUGGAACUCCAAUAUCCCCACCCAAAUAACAACAAUCAAGAAGUCAAUUGUCACAAAUGUAAGAGUACAAUAUAAAACAAAGUCAGAGUCCAUGAACAAUUAUUCUAAUAAAUGUAAGGAAACCUAAAUAAAAACUGAAAAUGAAGGGACACAUAUAUUCAAGUUGUUGAAUCUUUUGCAUAAAGAACUACCAUUGAUUAGCAUGUAAAAGCCAAAAAAUAAUAUAAAAAAUAAAGUAAGAAUAGAUAACAAAAUGAAUACCAAUAACUAAACAAAGAAAGGGAUUUAUUCAAUGUACUAAGUAGUCACAAUUACCUUUGGCUAGUUACUGUAGUUUGCCUUGUCUCUGGCACUGAAUUGUGGCCAUUUUCUUGCUCUGGAUCUUGAGUGACAGAGAUAUCAGCAUAAGCACUAGAUUCUGGAGGGCUAUUACGCGAAGUACCCUGACCAUAAAGUGCUGGUUCUUGCUCAGAGAUCAGACUAUUGCGAUGAAUAUAACGCCAAUAAAGAUGAGGAAGUGUAGCAAAACAGCCUGUUGUGUAACCUAUGAUCCAUGCAAAUAAUGGAGUUCGGGGAUGUUCAUGUCUUGACAAGGAGAGCACAAUGAUAGCUGCUAUAAUUUGACUCACAUUAACAACAAGCUCAACUGAAAUCCACAAACCAGAGUUCAAAGGACUUCUAUUUCGACGGCCAUAAUUAUCAGCUCUCCUUGGCAAAGAAAAAUUUAUUGAAUUGGAAAUAUUUGGUGAUGUUGGAGCUAAUUGAGAAACAGGAGCCAAAGUGCUUGUCGAAGGUCUAUCUUCAUUAUAUGCUCCAUCUGAGUCACCAUGGUCAUUUCGAGCAGAGACGGAAGUUGAAGCAUCAUUGCGCUGUGAUAUAUCAAUCGCAUGUUCAUGUCCAUUCAAAUUAGCUGCUCGAUCCAUCAGCAAAGAAUGUCUAUCAGCUUGAACCCUGCAGUUUAGUUCCUGAAGUGGAACAGCCAUAAACAUCCAAAAAUAGGAGAGAAAGAGAAAGUAGGAACAGGCCACAACUGAAUUUCUAAGAUUCUUCCUGUGAACAGCUAGAAUUUCAUUAUGAUCAGCUUGGUGUAGAUUCUUACCAAGUUAAGAACUUCUGGUCCUAACUACAGCUUUAAAAAGUCCUCGGUGCUUUAAUGUUUGAAUAUACACUCGAACAAUCGCUUUUAACUGAAGUAAAUGCCUAAACACAAUUAUUUGUACUCUUCUAUUUCAAACCGUAGUUUAGUGAGAUGCAAUGAACCUGCAAAUCGACAUAGAUGCUCAGAUACCAAUUCCUGAUGUUUGAAUUUUACUCUAUGGAACAAUGAAGCAAAAGUUGCAAGCUCAUAGAGUUCUCAUGCCAGAUGAACCUGAUGUUAAUUCAAAAUCAUGCAAGUCUCCUUAGAGAUAACCGUGGUAACAAUACACUAUAUGCAAAAAGGAAGAGAUCACAAUUGAAUAACACUGUGGAUUUAAGCUAACAGUUACAGAUAGACAUUUACUUCGAUCAAUCUCCCCUGCCUAUUCAAAGGAAUAAAAGCCUUUGGCUGGCUGGAAGCAGGAACUUAAACAAGCAUUUCACCUUAUUAUAAAAUAAUUCAUGGAAUGGGGGAAAAUCUUCAGCAUGGAGCUAAGGAUCCACCACCAUCCAGUAUUAGAGAUGGGAAAUUUGCCAUCUUAACGAUUACUAACGACCCCGUUAAUGCUCAUAAUAUCCACUAAUCAAUGGCAUGGAACGAUACCAAAGCUCAAACUCCGACCAAAUUUAACAGUCUAACCAUAUCUCUAUCUCCACAAAGACUCCACAAUGAAGAAAUCUAACAAAUAACUGAGAAAUUGCCAAAUAUUAACCAAGAUCCAGGUCGCCUUCCCAGAGAACUACCCUAUCACAACAUCGAAGCAAAAGCCUUCCCAUGGUUCUCGAUUUUGUACAGAAAAAAAAAAUUCAUAAAAAAAAUUCACAAGAAAUCCACCGAAAGAUACAACGACGUCGAAUCGGAUCGCAGGGAAGAAGUAAACCCCGAAAUUAGAAGGGGUCUCUUGAAUUCAAGGCAAGGUAAGCUGAGAGACAAAUCGAACUACUUACCCGAAUCCCACUCGCUGCUCGGUCUCGGUCUCCCCCAUCGUUCAAACCGCUCUCGCCUUGGAAUGAUCGGCUUUCGCGACAAGAAUGCGAAGGAGAAAGGUUGGAAUUUUGGCUGCUUUAAUUAUAUUUUACUAUCUGCAGUCGUUGAUGCUGUCCGUAGAUUGCAAGUUUCCGCACGCCUUCUCAGGCCGUCUGAUCGGUGAGGGCCUGAGGCGAUCAACGGAUCAUGAUGAUCGAGCGUCGUCGAGGAUGACUGGGACGAGACGAACGGAUCGAACGGCUGUGAUCGAGGGAUCGAUGAGGCCGCGUCCGUUUGACCGCGAUCCUCUCACCUGUUGCUGACGCAGACAUCAUGACUGAUGACAUGGACGGUUCGAUCUUGAUCGUACGGACAGUAGCUUGCCAACACACAGUCUAUCAUCCAUCGAAAUUAUUCAAAUAUUUAUCAAUAUAAUAUCUGACAUGCGUUGCACAUGCAAACGUAAUGAUACCUCAGCCUUAUGGACGGUCGAAUCAACCUGGAUAAGUUUCAGGGUGGUACCAUCUCUCACAGAUGGUUUGCCACAUCACACCUGGAAAGUACUAUGACGGAUUCGACCGAUCUCUGGGAUUCUUUCUCUACGUGUGACAGCUACAUCCAAGUCGCCGUUUUCCACACGUCUUCGUUGGUUCAGCUGUCCACCUCAUCGUCUCUGCAGGGAUGACGCCCGGGUGUAGUCGACGGCCAGGUUGUAGAGAGAAGGAAUCGAAGACCCACGCAUGCUCAACCAAAACCCUUUCGCUUUCGGACAGGAGGAAAGAGACAAGCAGAGAUAUCGAUAAGAUAGAGUGAAGGAGAAAGGAAGGCCUUUGAUCACAUUAUAUCUGUGAAGAGCCCUUUCGUCUCUCUCUCUCUCUCUCUCUCUCUCUAUUUGGCUGUGUUGGCUGCUUUGGAGUUAAGAUGGACGCGCCGAGCGCGCAGGAGAUGUCGUACAUGGAGCACGUCCAGAGACGCCACGAGGAGAAGGGCUUCCUCUACGCCUGGUAUCAUCACAGUCUCAUCUCCAUUCCAUAUGAUAUACAUCAAGUGACUGCAGAUUGAGGUUGGAAGGAUGUUUUCUUGACUUAUUGUGGCUUCUUGAUCCAUUUUGUGGCAGUUUAUUCGCCUUCUGUUGCUGCUUCUGCUGCUUUGAGGCCUGCGAGUGCUGCCUCGAGUGCCUCUGCUGCUGCUUCUGAUCAGUACCGAUCAUGUCGAUCGGGCAUGAUACGUAGUAGUAUGUUGAAUAAAGCUGCUUGAUAUGCUACUUGUGAACUCUUCUCGAGUUCCUUACAUGUUUGUAUCGUGAUUUGUGUAUCUGUAAGUGGGUACUGUUGGAUUUGUUUGGUAGGACUAUCGAUGUUGCUUGAUGGUUCAUCAGAUGUUAAUCUUACAAGUUGGUCUCAUGUUGAUGAACUUGAGAGUUAGCACUUGCAGUGGGUGCUUCCAUUUUCCACCUUGAGAUUUCUCCUACUUGUUGGGCAGGUAAGCUUUAUCUCUAAUAAUGAAGAAGACAGAUAUGGUCUUGAUGAAUACAAGACUCUAAGCAGACAUCAACAUCAACUUUCUCUGUCUUCUUUUCCCUCGAAAAGAUAGGUUGGAACAUUAAACCUUAAUCCCAAUGACCAAGGAAACCAAGUAAACAUUCUAAAAGACCUGAGAUGAAACCGAGCAGUUCUUCCAUCUGGUUGCUGGACAAAGAGAAAACACAUAGAAUAAACAGGAGUAGGCAGAUUUCCCCAUCAAUACAUCCUAUAUUGAACAUCUUUAUCAGCCUUUAAAGCGAAGUCUCACAAUCUUACCACACCAGGGUUUUCAGAAGAAAGUGAGAGGAUGUAGUCUUAAUCCUUGCGAUUCUUUACCAGGGAUAUGUCAUGCCAAAAUAAGAGUGCAUUCUUCCUUCUAUCAUUGAUUUCUCUAUAUGUUCAUAUUAAUACCUGAAUAAAAAAAAUUCGUAAACAUUUUCUCCAUAACGAGAUUUUUCUCCAAUAUUUUUUUGUUUUUUUUCUUUCCACAAGUCUAAUUAUAUGUUCUCUAUUUCUGUUUAUUUGAUAUUAUAAUGAUCUAUAAUUUUUAGAAAUAUCAUUUGAUACAAAAUUUAUUUAUCCUCGAAAAUAAUUAAAAGUGGGAAGGUACGACGAGAUCAAACCUAAGCCAUACAAACAUCAAUCCAAAAUAGUAGUUCGAAAAAUAUUUCAACUAUACACCUAAAACGAUAGGACAAGGACUCAAUUAUUGAUCGUUUACUAAAAUUAUUUUAUCUUUAUCGAUUAUUAACUCAAGUGUCACUAUAUCAAUCUUGAUCUUCAUAUAAGUUAGUCAUGUAACAAGUGCUCGAACCCCCUCAAUAAUCAAGCGAGCAUUUAUGGACUCCCUAUUCGAUCACAUCAAAUUUCUUAUUUAUACAACUUUAAAUCAAGUUAAAUUAAUAUAGACAUAAUCGAUGUCAUCAUGUAUAAUUGUAUAUGUUCAAAAUGCCGAUGUAAAAAAAAUCAAAAUAUAUAAGUAAUGAAUAAACAACAUCCAAUAUUUUUGGAAGAAAUAAGCACACAUGAAGCCAUUUCAUAAUGAGCUUAAAUUAGCAGAAGAAAUAAUAUGAAACAACUCAGCAAGCAAAAUUCUUUAAAGAAGGAUUAAUAUGCAAAUGAUACAUAAUAAACGCAUAAAAAUGCAUCAAUUUCUCUCGGCCCUUAAAAGCAACAGAAGACCUUCAAUGAAAAAACCCCCCAAAUAAUGGUUUUUAUGAAAAAUGUUCCUCCGCCCACCUCUCAAUCCUGGUUGAAAUCGUGACUAAAGUCGCUUUCCGAAUGCUAUUCUUUCGUAGGUACACAUUUAAAGACUUCCAACUUAUACCUAAGCUAUGAGGUCGCGACUUGAAUCGCUGUCCAGAGUACCGCUAUUCUCUACCGGUUUUCGGCCUCCCGGUAUCUCAAGUCGUGUGUUAAAUCGCGUGACUGGUUUAAUCACCUAAUAGCCAACAAACACCACAGAUAAAACAGGCUUCUCAAAUUGAUAAUUGCUUAAGUGCCCUUCACGCGAGGCAUUUUUACACAUAUACCCAUGACGAGGGAGAUGUGUGUAAAUAUACAUAGAUCCCUUUUCUUUGCGUCUUUGCCCUAAGCCCCCUUUUCUUUUGUACCUAUUCCAAAUCCCCCCCACCGCCGCCGCUCCAGCCGGAUCUACGCCGUAUCCAGGUUCCUCUCCUCCUCUCUGUCCAUGCAUCUCUUUAUGUCGUCCCCUGAAUAACUAAUCGAUUUAGUCUUCAAGAUUGCACUAAUUCUUUCUUGAUUCCGGCCCACACUGUUCGUGAGUCCGAAUUCGCCUAGAUGAUGCCCACCAUGAAGUCGAUUAGUUGUAAGAAUAUGGAAAAUUUGCUUCUUUUUUAUUUACUAUGUCUUUACCAGGCCUGAAACGGGUCCUGGAACGGACUUCGAGCAAUAGGAAGCAGUCAGAAAAAGAGAACAUGCUUCUUUUUGCUUGAUUUUUAUCAGGGCUGAAAGCAUAGAAGGAUGAUGUCACAUUCGGAAUCUUUAUCGUAUUGCCUAACGAAUUGAAAUGACUUUGACUAUGGAUCCUGCACCAUAGUGUCUUUGUUUAGGUAAUCUCAGUUCUAUGGUAGAUGGGAACUUGAUAUAAAGAUCCUUUGUUCUUCUAUAUUGCCCUCAGGUGAUAGAUUUGUUUUUGUUGGAGCUGCAACUAAAUUGUACAUUAAGUUUUACAUUCUUCUGCAUGGUUACCCUGAUGUCUUGAGCUUAUUGUGGAGGCACUUUGUGCAAUGUUGGUUGUGCUUCAUUGUAACAUUAACUAUGUAUUACACAAGUAGGCUUUGUAUGUGAUUCACUAGGUUAUUUUGGGCCACAGAUUAUAUGUUUUGUGCAUAUACUGCUUCAAUUUGCAUUACUCUGGUUGAACAUUUUCUUAUUGUUCAUUUGUAGGCAGUUAGAGCACACCAUGGAGGGGCGGGGAAUCGUGGCCAUUUGCCAAUAUGGUGGUGAAUUUGUUACCAACAGUGAUGGGUCUCUUUCAUAUUCUGGAGGAGAAGCUCAUGCGCUUGAAGUAGGUCAUGACAUACUCUUUGAUGAUUUGAAGUCAGAACUUACUAGUAUGUUUAAUGUUGAUGUCAGUGGUAUGUCCAUCAAAUAUUUUCUUCCGAGCAACAAAAGAACACUUAUCACAAUAUCUAGUGACAAGGAUUUACAACGGAUGGUUGAUUUUACUUCUAAUGCUUUGACCACUGAGGUCUAUAUUAUAAACAAGGUUGAUAACAGGUAUUUUGUUCUAUAAAUUUGCUAAAAAGAAUCUCAUUUGGAUAAUUGGUAGCACUUAAAUGCAAUCUGAACUCACUUAACAAAUAUGCCCUUGUAGGAUAACUCGGAGCACUGUUGCUGAUUCUGGAAUCUCAAACAUUGGCACAGCUGAAAACGCUCGCAGUGGGAGACGAAGAAGGUUAAAUUCUACUAACAGGUACUUGCUCAUGGCUAAUUUAGUUAUAACAUGCACUCUGUAUGUAGUAGAUGAUUAAGAAGUUCUGUUUCUCUAGGGUGACUAGAGCUAGAGUAAGCGCUGUUGAUUCUGAUACCCCAAAUGCCAUCACCAAUGUUGCUGGAGACAAUGUAUAUAAUUUCCAAGAAAAGAGGCUAUUUGUGACUGAAAAUGAUGAUAACAGGUAAUCCUAUGAUGUCUAAUUUGAUAUGGAUAUCCAUGAACUGCAAAAUAAUUCUUUGUAAUUCUUUUGAGGUUGACUAUUUAGUACUUCGGAACUUUUUUCUUUCUUGCCCCAUGUAGUGCCUGCAAAUUCAUAAUCAUCUGGUGUUGUACAUUAGAGAAGAUAUUAAAAAAAGGCUAAAAUUUUGUGUUUGAAGCAUUUAUAAUACACCAAUUGUUUAUUUUAUUCAUCAACCCCUUAAUCUGUUUUCAGAGUUCUAUCUUUAUCUCUUGUUCACUUUGUUUGCUAAGAAUGCCAAAGAACUUAUCGACCGGAAACUGCAAUAAGAGAUUUCUUAAUUGCCUAUCGUAUACCUUUAUGAUGUUCCCCAAAUUUUCUGUUCUUUACUGCCAUUGAGAUGAUCCACUGCAAGUCCUAAUUGUGUUUAUUUUUUUCCUCUUUUUUUGUGACAAUAAUCUAGAAUGAUUUCUGAUGGCUUUGUUAUGCCAAUCACCGCCUCAUCUGCUGCUCCAGACAAUGCCAGACAAAGGAUAAUUACUGCCGACAACAUCGAUGAAAGGUACUGGCUCCAUAAAUGUUUCUUUUAUUAUGGAGUAGAGCUAUAUGAAAAAUCAUAGCUAUAACUGAUAAAACAUCAUUUGUAGGGCAAGCGGGAGUAUAUUGGUUGAUCCAAGCACUCCUCUCUUUGCAUCUCUGGUCACUCCGGAUGAUGUUGUACCUGUUAUUUCUAACUCUUCUUGGGCCAGUAUUAUUACUGGUGUGGGGCAAGAAUUUGAUAAUGUCAAGGAUUUCCGGUCUCAAUUAUGUAAGUAUGCAAUCGGUAGAGGUUUUAUAUACAAAUUUGUUAAGAAUGACACAACUCGAGUGACUGUGACAUGCAACGAAGAAACUUGUCCAUGGCGUAUACAUGCAUCUGAGACAUCUGGCAAGCAGAAGUUUGUGAUUAAAAAAAUGAAUAAUGUUCAUACCUGUGGUGGAGGAAAUGGCAAAGAUGGUCAACGGAAGGCAACAAGGCAAUGGCUCACCAGCAUUAUCAAAGAAAAAUUACAUGUUAGCCCACAGUGCAAGCCCAAAGAACUCGCAAGGGAAAUUUAUGAAGAUUUUGGUGUGGCUUUAUCCUAUUCACAAGUGUGGCGAGGACGGGAAGUAGCCCAAAAGGAGCUUUAUGAUUCAAUGAAAGAGACGUACAGCCAAUUGCCUUGGUUUGUUGAAAAAAUACUAGAAACCAACCCUGGCAGUGUUGCCUUGUUAUCCACAUCAGUUGAUUCAAAGUUUCGUCGUUUUUUUGUGUCAUUUCAUGCUUCCCUUCAUGGUUUCGAGCAUGGCUGUCGGCCUCUUUUAUUUCUUGAUAAGAUUCCUCUGAAGGUAACUAAUCAAUUUAAGUUAUUGGUUGCUGCUUCGGUCGACGGAAAUGAUGCUGUCUUUCCAGUUGCCUUUGCUGUAGUAGAGGAUGAGAACUAUGACAGUUGGCUUUGGUUUCUGAUGCAGUUGAAAUAUGCUGUAACAGCGACUCGAACAAUCACCUUUGUGUCAAAUAGGCAGAAGGGCUUGGAUGGGGCAGUGCCUCAAGCGUUUGUGGAUAGCCAUCACAGUUAUAGUUUGCAUCACCUCAUAGAGGAUUUUAAGAAUGAAUUGAGGAAGGGACCAUGGUCAUCACAGGUAAAAGAUGCGAUGAUUAGUGAUUUUACUCGUGCUGCCCAAGCCUGCACUAUGGAGGAAUUUAAUGCAUCUGUUGAGAGCAUAAGAAAUUUUUCAGCAGAAGCUGCCGAGUGGGUUAUGGCAAGUAAACCUGAAAACUGGUCAGAUGCCAUUUUCAAGGGCUCAAGAUAUGAUCAUUUCUCAACAAACAUUGUUGACUCAUUGAGUAACUGGAUACCUGCAAAGAAGGAACCAUCAGUGGUUCAGAUGAUUGAUGCAAUAAGAGACAAGUUAGCGGAGGUCAUGGAAGAAAGGCGUGGAUCAUGCAAUGCAUGGGUGGGUACUUUAACACCGGCUAUGGAACAAAAGUUGCAAACAGAGAUGUCAAAGGCCCGGAAGCUUAAUGUCUUAUGCUCCUCGGAUACUGUGUUUGAGGUACGUGGCAAUACAAUUUCUGUUGUCAACAUUGGGAGCUGGGAGUGCACUUGCAGGAGGUGGCAGAUUUCUGGUCUUCCCUGUGUGCAUGCUAUUGCAGUCUUCAAUCGGAUCAAUAGAUCAGCUGAUGAUUAUUGCUCAAGAUACUUCAGAAUUGAAUUCUACCAGUCGGCCUAUUCGGCACUUAUCCACCUGAUACCUGAUGUUGGAAGCAUAGAUUUCUAUUCUGGUGUAAGUUCAUACCCUCCUGCACGUCGUCCACCAGGAAGACCAAGGAGAAAACGAUUUAAUCACAACAAGACAAGUACGGUGGUCCGUCUCUGCAGCAGGUGCAAAGCAGCGGGUCACAACAAGGCGACUUGUGAAGCUUUUCUCUAAAGUUUGUGUUAUUCAUGUCCCCUGUGUAUAUCAGGUACCAAGUUAUUGCACAUGGAUGUGCCCUUUUCGGCACAAAUAUUUACUGAUUAAUUGUAGGCCUUCCAUGUAGAUCCUACUAAGGUGUCAGAAUUUCUCUGUCAUUGCUAUUAACCUGCAUUAUAUAUGCAGAUAAUGAUCUUGUGUAUGGUUAGUGAAGAUGAUCAACUUACAAAUAAUAACAUGAGCUUUUCUAUUAACUAGCAUUUGUAAGGAUGAUUUUUUUGCAUAUACAAAGCUAGGAUAAUGUUAAUUUGUCAGAAUAUAACAAACUGAACUGUGGUAAGUGAUCCUGGAAACUGGUUGUCUGCCCCUUAUGAGAAAAAGAAAAUGAUUGGCAUAAGGAGGGAAGAAAGAGUUCAUGUGUUAGUGUGGCACAAGCAAUCUAUCUUUUGCAAUUUUCUGGUCAACUCAUGAUGAUAAAUGAUUGGUGUCACCUUGCAAAGAAAAGUAAAUAGUUGUAUAGAUAACUGGUCCUUAGAGAUUGCCAGAUCGUGGGUUUUUUCAUGAUUGUGUGGGCAGAUCAUUAUUAAUGUGAGAAACAGCAUUGCAUGGAUUAGUUGAAACUCUCUCUGAUGGCUCAUUAUCCAGCAACAGCAAGUUUUUGCUUGACUAGGUUGGAGCAAUAUCUAUGUUUUCUUUGUGCUCAACAUGUUAGUAUGACACUGGUCUUCUACUGUUAGUUACAUGAUAUGGGUAAGUCAAAUGUUACAAUCUAUUUCUCCAAACGGCUGUUUCCUCCUAUUUAGAGCCCAAAAUAGGACAAACCAAGUUGACUUUUGGCUGGUCUCUUCUGUCAUACACUUGGAGACUGACUUGAGCUGCUGGAGAACCAGGUAAGUCAGCUAUUUAUGCAAUAAAUUGUGAGACAUGAUGGAUUGAUCAAUGGAUGUGAGCUUGUGAUUGGAAGAUCUUGAUCUGCUCUACUUUUCACUCCAAGUAUUUGCUGAUUUGUCUUCAAGUAUUUGCUAUUGUUGUCUCAAGGAAACAUCCUGUACUUACAAAUAUUCACAAAGUAUUUACAAAUAUUCAUUUUCAGAGACAUGUGAUAUUUUGCAGUUUGAUGGAAUAAAUUUGACAUCAAACUUCCCUUAAUUCCCUUAAAAGCAUUUACCUAUGCUUUGAUUUUGACCAUCAAAGAGUAUAAUUUUUUAUUUUGACCAUCAAAUGUACCCUUGAAACCAUAGAAAUCAUCUUUUUUGGCAUCACGUUUAUCUCUGUUUUUUCAAUUUUAUCUCUCAUCCCCCAUAUAAUUAUAAGGGGAUACUUUACAUAUAUUCAUUUUUAGAGACAUAUGCGAUAUUUUGCAGUUUGAUGGGAUAAAUUUGACACCAAACUUCCCUUAAUUCCACAAAAAAAAAGAAGAGUUCAUCAGGUGCUCCAUG